ACUGGGAAAAGAAUAAAACUUUCUUGGACAGAAAGCUUCUGCCGCAAUCGCACUUACUUGGAAACGCGGUUUCUCACAAAACCCAACUUGGGAUUAGUCUGAACCUCCAAGUUUCGGUUUGCUAACUCGGAGGAUGACUCAGUUUCUGCACAUUGCCCGAAGACGCGAGUUCCGAGCAAUGGCGGAAGAAGAAAGAUUCACGGUUGUCUGGUAGUAACGCGCGUUUUGGAUCCGACGUACAAUGUUUGUGUGUGUGUUUUUUCCGGAACCCGAGAGCCGACACUGAUUCGUUCGUUUUUUGUUAAAAAAAAAAAAACAGAGUAUAAUAAAACAUGGUGGUGUGUGCGAGAUGAUGUGUUUAUAUACAGAAUAUAUUUUCUGAUUUUACCCGAAAUUAUUAUUUCCUUACAAAUGUAUCCCUUUCUUUCUUUUGAAGGCACACGAUACCACACAUUGGCAUGAAAUAAAAAUAAACAAUAUCUCUAUCUCUAGGAGUAAAUUCACAACAACAGUAUAUAUAAAAUUUGUAAACCCAUUGAAUUUCUGAAGUUUUUCAUAAUUUUUUUUAUUUCGAUAGCUAUUUCAUAUACAAUAGCUUUGAUAGACUAUAUUUUUUUUUUUGAUAGAAUAUAUUACUUUAAAUAAUAAUCAUAAUUAUAAAUUAUGAAAUAUCAGUUUCAGUUUUUGAGAUUUAUGUAUCAGUUUAAAUUUUGAGAUUUAUGUUAUUAUAAAUGCAUAAAUAUCUCAAAUAUCUGUAACGUUGUUUCAAAACAGUUUUGUUUUUAUAAACUUUAAGAUAAAAAACUACAAUGAUUUUAAGAAUAUACAAAUACGUUAUGAUUUUAACUUAUCAUUAAAAUUUGCAAAUAUUAAGUACAUUAAGGUUUUAACUUAUCAUUAAAAUAUAAAAAUUUCAAAAUCCUGACAGUUUAUUAAAUGACAUCUGGUUUUAUUGAUUACUUGGUCCAAAAAAAAACAUUGAUGAUUGUGUUGGGUUAGCUAACAGAUACAAAAUAUAAGGGGUAAUAAAGAUUAACAUAAAAAUAGGGUCCGUGAAGAAGACUUCCAUUAGUAGUUGACACUUGACAGGCAAAAAAAUAAUGUUUUCGGUUAAAAGUGGGUUGGAUAGGUUCCGAACCGAAUGUCGGGGGUGGGUGACGUGUUCCGGUCGGACCGGUAAUGGUGUUGUUGAAAUGUAACGAAUCUUAUCAGCUUCCAAAUUACGCGUUCCGCAGCAACCAACGGUUGACGAUUUGCUCAGGAACAAGGACUGUUUUGUCUUUUCAUUUUUAAAAUGGGAUUGUGUUUUCUAUAUGCGACCUCACGGUAGCUUCAGUGAUCGCAGCUUUUAUGUAUUCUAUUUGAUCUUAUUCUUUUUUUUUUGGGCAACUGAGAUUUCAUUAAAUAAAGGGUUCAAGAGUUACACAGAGCUUGGGCCAGAAAGCAAGCAAGCCUUAGCGUUUAAGUCCGCAAGCCCAUUUGACUCUCGUUUAAUGAAAGAAAAGUGACAAACAGUAAAAGACGAUGAAGAGAUCACGGCGAUGUCCGAAAGUACUCCAUAGAGCUCGGUCGGAAACCGUCCAGAUGAUAUAGCUCCGAUGAGCACUUGUGAAUCUGAUCUUAGCCAGAUGAAUUUGUAGUCGAGCUCCGCCGCGUGAAGAAGAGCACUCCUGAUUGCCAAGGCUUCCGCCAUGCAUGCCGAAGAGACGUGUUUUUGGAACAGAGAACCUUGAUUCAGUUCUCGCCCUUCGUUAUCAGCGAAGAUCCAAGCUAAUCCCGCGUUUCCCGAGUCCGAUCUCCAUGCGGCAUCUGUAUUACAGCAGAGUGUGAGAGGAUGGAGCGACGGUGGGGGAGAGAGAUGAGCGAUGGAUGAUGGGAUCGCAGUAGGUGUUUCGAUUUGCCCCUGUGCUUGUUCCCACUCCCUGAUGGCUUUAAGGGACUUGAGGAAGAUCUCACUUGGUGAUGAUGAUCUGUUCUCAAAAAUAUAUUGAUUCCUCGAUGUCCAUAGGAACCAACAAAUCCACGGUAGACAGUUGCUUGUGUGACCAUAUGGGGGAAGUGAAGUCCAGCCUUUGGAGAGGAUGAGGGCCUCCUUUAGAGAAGUUAUCUCAAUGGCGUCGAAACGCUGCGCCCAUGGGCCUAUGCUCCAUACAGCUUGCGCAAAGGAACAAUGAAAUAGGAGGUGGAUCGUCGUCUCUGGUUCACCGCAGCGACAGCAGCUUGGGGGCACUUGAAUACCUCGCCUUAGUAGAUUUUCAGCCGUUGGUAAUGCAUUCUGACACGCUUUCCAUAGAAACAUUUUGAUCUUUGGUAGUAGCUUGGGGGACCAAAUGCAUUUGUGCCAAUUCCAGUCAUCAGUCUCUCUGUCAUUUCCAUUAUUCAAGAGUAAUGCAGUCGAUUGAACUUUUGAUGCUUGCAGGGAGAGGUAACCUGAUUUUGCAGUGUAAUCACCAGACUUAUGGAAGUUCCAUUUGUAAGAGUCACGGGUUCCUCGUAUGCUUGGUCGUAUGCUGACGAUGUGGGAAGCAAGAUCAGGUAAUAGAUUAAGCACUUUCGCUGUAUUCCAUUCUUUAGUUUCUCUGGAUAAGAGGUCUGCCACUAAAAGAUCUUGGUCAUUUUCCUGCAAUGGUCCCAGCGGUUUCAGGGAUGAGUUUGGGUCUAUCCACGCGUCUUUCCACACACUCGUAGAUUCACCGUCGCCUAUGGCUUUCCCUAAGUGGUUGAUGAGGAGGUCCCUUCCCUUAAGAAUCCCUUCCAGCCGUGGGAAGCAGAAGGGGCAGCUGCCACUGUGAGGAAAGAGCAAGAGGUGCAAUACUUCCCAAUCAAAAUUCGCGCAAGAAGGCAGUCUGGUUUCGUGAUUAGCCUCCACGCUAACUUUCCUAGGAGUGCCUGAUUGAAAGCUUGAAUAUCACGGAAACCGAGACCUCCCAAGCCUUUAGGCAGGGUGAGUGUAUCCCAAGCCACCCAGCAAAUCUUUUUUACUCCAUGUUCCGAGUCCCACCAGAAUCUGGUUAACACAGAUUGGAUGCGUUUACAUAAACUGAUAGGUAGUUCGAAGCAAGUCAUCGCGAAUGUGGGAACUGAAGAUAGAACCGCUUGCAACAUAGUAGCUUUCCCUGCCAUGGAUAGGAACCGAGUGGAAUAGUGUAGAGCUCGUUGUUGCAUUCUGUCAACAAUGGAGGAGAACAGGUCCUUCUUUUUGCGGCCAAAGUGUUCCGGGAGUCCAAGGUAUUUGCCAACUCCUCCCUCUUUCUCGAUCUUAAGAUGUUGUUUCACUCUCAGUCUAACAUCUUGUGAGGUCUUGGCAGAGAAAGAGAUUGAAGAUUUUGCCAAGUUUAUCAUCUGACCCGAAGCUGCUUCAUAGCUCUGCAGAAUAGUCAUGAGCGUCAAGCAACUUUGAGGAUCUGUUUUAGUAAAAAACAUGGUAUCAUCCGCAAAUAGCAGGUGAUUUAUUCUUGGACUGUUUCUAGAGACCCUCAAUCCCGCCAUUGUACCAUUGACUUGAGCUUUCUUGCAGAGGCCAGAGAGGACUUCACCACAUAAGAUAAAAAUAUAGGGAGACAGGGGAUCUCCCUGUCUAAUCCCACGCUGAGGAGAAACACAGCCCGCGACUUCGUUGUUGAUGAGGAAAGCAUAGGAUACUGUGGUUAUGCACUGCAUUACGAGAUGAAUCCAUGUAAGAUCAAACCCCAACUUUUCCAUAACUGCUUGAAUGAAGGUCCAUUCAAGCCUAUCGUACGCUUUACUAAUGUCUGUUUUCACAGCCAUAGAGCAGUGGACAGUAGCUUCAGAGGUCUUGAGAUAGUGCAACAUCUCGUGAGUGAUGAGCACGUUGUCGGAGAUAGCUCUGUCAGGUAUGAACGCAGACUGGGUCUCUGAAAUAAUCUCUUGAAGAACCGGCUUUAGGCGCAGAGAUAGGAGUUUAGAUAUUACUUUGUAGUAGACAUUACAAAGGGCGAUGGGCCUAUAGUCCGAGACUUGUUUAGGGCUAUGUAUUUUGGGAAUUAGUCGAAUGUGUGUGCUGUUAAUAGAACAGGGCAGACUUCCUGUAGAGAAGAAGCACUGAAUCUCUCUUAUUAUUGCAGGACCUACUGCACACCAAUUUGACUGGAAGAAGCUUGCAGAAAAGCCAUCGGGGCCUGGGGCUUUGUCCGGGUGAAUCCCAAAUAAGGCUGCUUUCACCUCCGCAGCUGAGGGUAUAGCCGUGAGCCUUUCAUUUGUCGACGCGGAGAUACACGGAGUUAAGGCUCUGUUUACUACUUCAGCGGCUGAAGGUGAUGAGGAGGUAAAGAUUCCCUGGAAAUACUUUGAUAUAACAUCUAUGAUCUGCUCUUCCUCAAAGACAGGAGUACCAUCAGAAUCUUCAAUAGCUGUAAGCCUGUUGCGGGCUCGUCGACUCUUGGUGGAAGCGUGAAAAAACCCAGUGUUUUUGUCUCCAAGAGUCAACCAAAGUUGGCGGCUUCUCUGCUUCCAAAACUCCUCCUCCGCUUUGUAGGCUUUGAGGAGAUUCUGGUUUAUCAUCGAAAUAAGAGAAUCAUCUGCUAUAGUCAGCGACAUUGCGGCAUCAAGAUCUCUGCGUAACUCUUCAAUGGCUUUCUGACUGUUAACAUAAUUUGUUCUGCUCCAUGAGGCUAUGGCUUGUCUACAGUUUGAUAUCCUUUGAGCCACACUGAGGCGUGAGUUUUCUUUCCACACUCUAUCAACUAGAGCUUUAAUCUCAUCAUUGUCUCUGAGUCUCCUAUCAUACCGGAAUAGUCGUUGAGGUUUUUUCCUUUUGCUGUCAAAGGUAGAGAGGAUUGGCCUAUGAUCAGAGCCUUCGAAAGGGAGGUAGUGGGAGCGUCCAUUUGGGAAGAGGUCCAUCCAGGAACUAUUAGCCAUUGCUCUGUCCAGCCGGCAGUGCACCAGGUGUGUAUGUCGCUUUCCUCUCCAUGAAAGAAAAUUACCAGUGUGCUUCAGAUCAAAGAGAUCACACACGGAGAGAAAGGAACGAAAGGCGCAAAAAGAGCUUUCAGGUCUCUCUCUACCCCCAGACUUUUCUGUGUUGUUGGUGAUUUCAUUGAAAUCCCCCGUAAUGAACCAUGGUUGAUCACGGGAAGCUGAGAUGCUUGAGAGCUGAUCCCACACUGCUUGUCUGUUUUGGGUUUCAAGGGCUCCAUAUAUAAAGGUACCGUUGAAGGAGGAGUUUUUGAAACUGAUCUGAGUGUCAAUGAAGUGAGGCGUCGACGUCAGGACCUGGAUGUCGAUCCCUUGCUUCCAUAACAGCGCCAGGCCACCAGCGCUAGUGUCAGAAGGAGAGACAAGAAAAUGGAAUUCCAUAUGGAGAGGUUCCAGUUCUGAGAGGACAUUAGCAUCGACGUUCUUAGUUUCAGAUAGAAAAAUUAUAUCCGGAGAACACUUUGAGGACAAGUCUUUGAGCCUUUGGACUGUCUGGGGGUUCCCGAUCCCACAACAGUUCCAGCUCAAAACUACUAAGGAAGAGGAGGACGGGGGAUGUGAAAAUCCUGCUGGUGAUUUCCUGAUCCCGAUGGAGCUUGGCUUUGUCCGUUUCGUGAGCCAGGAAGGCUCCUAGGUGUUGCCCGUGCUUGAGAUUGGAUUGGAGAAGCAAACGGAAACCCAUGUCUAGCAGGUGAGGCGUGGACCAAAUUUCUUUUCCUAGAGUUAGCUCCAGGAAGAUAUCGCGGGCUUGGUCCAACUUUCUUUCUUCUCUUCUUUGCACCGAGUGUAUCAUGUGUUACACUUGCAGGACGGUCUUGUAUCACCGGGGGAACUGCAUUACUUUCACCCUCUGGUAUUUCUAGUCUGUUAAAAACAGAGGUGGGUGGUGUAUUUGAGGUGGGUGAGGCCAGUCUCUCAAAGACAGUAGGUGGUCGCUUGAUAGUCUCCUCUCUAGAGAGUUUAGAGGUAGCUGCUGCUAUAAUUCCUGCUGCAGUUGUCGCCAUAAGAUUCUCCUCUUCUCCCAGUAAAACCCGCUGACGUCUCGCGGCGCUUUCAGCUUGAUCUGCCACAUUAGUAUAUUGAUAUGUAACUUCUCUUAGGUCUGCAAGCACUUCAUCUGUGGUGGGAAUUGUACGCGACUGCGGAAAAUCACACAUUGCCAAGUUUCUGCCUAGCGGCUGUCUACAAGCCUCAUUGAUUUCCGGUUCCUCGCGCGGAGGGGGUGAGCUAUCAGUGUGGAGUCUUUGGUCCUCAGCAGGUGUUUUGGUGGGGGUCUUAGCUCUCCAUUGUAGAUGGGGUUCAUGAUCAAAAUCCCUCACUGCACCCCGGGGAGCUCUGUUCUGAGCUCUUACUGGCUGACGGUAAGUGUAUCCCUCCUUUGUUGGAAUUAGUUUGUUUUUGAGUGGUUGUCCUCGCAGCUCUGGUGGGGGGAUUCUACUCCCGAAAGGCCAUCCAUGUCUGUCUAUCCUCUGGUGGAAAGGUUCCUUAGCUGAGACCACGCGUGGUGGACGAGAUGGGGAGUUGUAGUUCUGAUACGCACGUCUUGACGUAGGAGAUACCGCGGGUAUAGCUGUCUCUUCAUCCCUUUUUGAGUCUUCACAUGAUGACAGGUGGGGCUUUGAAAACCUUGGACAGUUUUUGUCUUCGUGUGUUAGCAUGAAGCAUUUGGAGCAGUGAGAUUUGAGCUCUUCAUAUUCCAGUACGACAGUCAGAUCUUCACCUGAGUCGAACUCAAUCAGAGGGUCCAUAAUCAGAGGUUUGAGGCCAUCAAUCAAAACUCUAACCCUUGCAGACGUCUUCGAGAUGUGAUACCCUUCCAGAUGACCUAGCUCAUGACCUAUUUUAGUUAUGACCUUUUCAUGCCAGAAGUGUAGAGGCAGUCCUUGGAGGCGGACCCAAAAAGGGAUUUGGGAGGGGAAGGUUGGAGAAAUGACCGGUUCCCAACGUUGGAGGAUAACCAUCCAAUGAUGGUAGUGGUAUGGUCUGUUUGCUAGAACUUCCUUCAAAUCUUCUUCUAGGUCAAAUCUGAACUGAAAGCAGUUCAGACCAAGAUCUGCUCCGGUGACUUUGCCUUUAAGGGACCAGUUUCUUGGGAGAGAGGUCAUAAGGGAUCCUAUCGGUUGUUCUCUGGCAUUUGUGACCCUUCCAAUGAGAGUAAGGGCAUUAUCUUUUAUCAACGCCGAAGUAUCGAUCUCUGGUGCUCGGAUACGUUUCCGCACUGGCUCUCCCGCUAGCGGUGCAAGACUUUUGCCUUUCUCAGAUGCUGUGAAUCUUCUGGAGUCCAUGGCUGAGGGGAAGUUUCGGUCGUCGGGAGAAAUGAGUGACUGUGAGGACCAAGGAAGAAGAUGUAGGAGAUCUGCUGUAGAAGCUGCUGUCGAAAGGACUGUCGAAGUUGCUGUCUGAGGAGUAACCGUCGACCCAGAGCAGCAGUGCCACAAUCCGAGACUCUCUGGCUUUACACCAGAGGGAGGAGCUCUGGUGGUUAGAUGCCGGAAGCCGGUGGUCUCUGAAUCGGAGCUUAUUCUUAUUCAUUUGAUUCACGUCAUUUCUGUCAAAGAUGUACCAGUUAAGUCAAAAUCUUCCGGAAUAGUUAGCUAAGUAUUUUACCAUAAAAUACAUCAAUCAACAAACAAAAGUUUUUUACUCUAAAAUGAAUAAAAGACAAAUCAAGAAAAAGUAAUGGGAAAAAGAAAGAAGCAUCUAUCUUUUCGAAAAUAUUAUUCGCCAGAAUAAUUUACGGUCAUGAGUAGUAAAAGGUUAGCCUUUUCAAGAAACACAGCUGGUUUUAUUAAAAUAAAUCAGAAAUCAACCGAAAAUUGGUAAGACAAUACGAUUGGUGGACAUGGUUUCAAUUUAAAACGUUGUGAUACAUGCAUUAGUUAAAUAGAAGUAAGCAAAACAAGGACCAAAGUGAAUGUAACAGUUUCACCAAAAAAAAGUGAAUGUAACAGCUAAACAACUAAGACAAUUUGGUCCAUCCGAACCUCAAAAGGGAACUAAGGUUAUUCUUUUCGAAGCUUAUAUUAUCUCCUAAAGCUAAAUCUAUAACAUUUACUAACAAAAGCUCGUUAGGUCUGAAAGAAAUGCUUCAAACAUAUUUAGACGUUAUUUAUUAAUGUCAAAUCUCUUAUGGAGUUUAUAACAACCUGCUGAAUUAAGUAAGAUAUACAACUCUACCUAUCUCACCAAGAAAAAAAACAAUCAUCAUUAUUUUAAUAGACAAUAAUUCACUAAUUAUUCCAAAUCUGAUAAAUUUAUAUAUCAACAUGAUAGUUGGUAAUAACCCAAACAAAAAAAAUAUUAACUUUGUAUAAAGCUGGUAUAGAAGUAGUAUAGCCGACACUUAAAACUAUGUUUUCUGAUGACAUGAAAUUAUGUCUUCUGACAUUAAUAUUUUGAAACGACCAAUCAAGAAAUACAAUCAUACUUCUAAAUUAUUAUUUUUUUCUAAGAAAACUUUAUUUGUUUUCAUAAAACCCUUUAGUUAAACGUUAAUUUUCAAAUAACUUUCAAAUAAUAUUUAGGGUCGACACAAUGAAACCAUUGCGUAAAAUAUUCUCAAAACUAAUGUUCUUUACUAUAUAUUUUAUAGAUAUAUUGGAACAUAGUAGAGCAAUUAAUACAUUUGUUCGGCGACAUCAGAGAAUGUAUUCAGUUCUAUAACAUGCCAUAUGGUUAUGGUCCAUGUAGCAUUGUCAAUGAUUAAGUGGAAGCAACGAGCCUCAUUCAAAUCUUGAUUUGUUUGAUAACGAAUACAUUAUAUUGAGUAAAAUUAAUUGGAUGUGAUAACCAAAAGGUUGCUACAUGUUUCCAUAUAUAUAUAUACUAGAUAUGAGUCUGUGCGUUACAACGAAUUUUGUUUGAUGUUUUAAUUUAGUAAAAAAAAUAAAAAGUUCAGUUUAUAAAAAGUAAUAAAUCAUAUUAUUAUACUCUUAAGAUUGUUUUUGAUAUGUUGUGUGAGACUUAUUUUAUAAUUAAGAACUCGUUUUUACACAUAAAUUCCAGUUAAUAUUUGUAUUUUAAGAAUUCGUUUUACACAUAAUUCUGGUUAAUAUUUGUAUUUUAUAAUCAUGGUGCAUAUGUGAAUUUUUAUCAACUUUAUAUUUAGUGCUAGAGAAAACACUCAUACCUAUAAAUUUAAACACAAUCCAACCCGAAUUAAAAAAAUGAAAAAAAAUUGAAAGUUAAAUAAAGCCAAUCGAGUCAAUGACAACAUCAUACACUUUCUUAUGUAAUAGUUUAAUAUUUUAUUAAACUUAUCUAUUGCUUAAUAACUUUAUUAAUUCAUUAUUUCUUAAUGAUAUAUUUCCAUGAUAACAUUUUAAUUAAAAAUGAAGUAGAAAAAUAUUACGUAGUCAAAACAAAAAAUGUAAUAAGAUGACAAUGAAACUUGAUUUUUUUUUUUGAAAAAAAAAUAUAAAAUCAUUUACGGUGUCAAUAAUAAUAAUUUAUUUUUUAUGACCAAUCAUGAAAAUAUAUAUCAAAAAUGAGUUUGAUUUUCGUAUGAUCAAACCUAUGAAUUAAUUCCGUGAGACCAAACACAUAUAAAUAGCAAUCAUAACGACAUUCUAUUUUUUUUGUUAAUUAAAUAGUUUUAACAUCAUACUUGUCAUCAAAUUAUUUAUUUUUUAAAAUAUUAUUAAAAAGUUUAAAACUGUAUUUUGUUAGGAUUUUUUAAAAAGGGCUCCUUUUCAUUUACAAUUAAAUUAUAUAUAAUUAUCCUUCGUUGUUUUACUUUUCGUUUUUGUUUUAUAUAUUUUUUAAAUUUCAAUAUUUUAUUUUACAAUUUUCUUUGUUUAGUAUCUUUAAAAACGAAAAUUAUAUUUUUCAAACAAAAAAAAAGAAAACGUACUUUCAAACAACUUUUUACAAUUAUUUUCCGUUGUUUAGGAUUUCUAAAAAAUGAAAUAGUAUCCAAUAAUUUUAACAAUAUCUAAUUGUGUUAUAGUAAUUGUCUUUUUCUAAAAUCUUAAAAAAUCUUAAAAUAAUAUUUUUGUAAUAAUAACUUUUAUUUUCUAAAUCUCUUUUAAAUCCUAAAAAAAGAGAUAUCAUAUUUUUGACACAUGUCAUAAUCUUAAAAAAUUUAUUGACACAUGUCGCGAUCAUGUUAAUUAGCAACUUCGAAGAACCAAGCUUUAUAUAAUAAGAUUACAUUGGUUAAGCAAAAGAAAACCAAACCGCUAUGAUUUAAUAUUAAACCGAUAUUCUAUCUAAUACAUUAUGUUUUUACCAGGAUUGCCAUUAACCGUUCCAAAAAUUUGUCUCAGAUUCGACACGGUUUCAGUCAAUUGCCGCAACAUCUCCAUGACACCUCAUCUCUUCGUCCCCAAAUCUACUGUGCAAUAGUGUGGAUUCGCCAGAUUUGCUCGGUACUAUGUUACCGUUGUGUUUCCAUCACACUACGCCAUUUUAAGCAUCGACAGAUCUUCAUAGAGUUGGUUCUACGGUCCUCCCAUCCAUAAUACUCAAAAAGGAUUUUCAAUUUUCUUUCUCCAAAACAGAUUCAGUGACUUCUGUAGCUCAAAUGGUCAAUAUUGCUCUUUUCGUUUCUAAAUAUAAGAUAAUUAUGUUAAAACACACAUAUUAAAAAAAUUAUUUUUUAUCUAAAAUAUUAUUAAAAUUUUAAAUUAAUGGCAUUUACCAAUUACAAAAUAGAUACUAAAAUAUGAUUUGUUAUACAGUUUUUAAUAAAAUAAAAGUUACCUAUAAAAAUAAAAACGUUUUAUAUAUUUGAAACAUCAAAAAAGCAUUCUACAUUUAUGAAUAUAGUACUAAGUUUCUAACUAACGAAACUAAUCACAGUUUUAUAAGUAAUUUUAAUCAGCGGGAGGAUCGAGUCAUAUGAUUGGAGGAUGAGCGCUUGGAUGAUACGUGGCGGUGGAUGGAGUGAUGGAAACACGUGAUUGGCGGUGGGAUUCUUCUUGCAUGUGUCCCAACAGCUGUUGAGCUAGUCUUUAGUUAUAAACUUACAAAGUAAUACAGUACAUUCUACAAUUCGACAUGGACUGGAUGUAUAUUUGCGUUCGUGUUUAGUUUCACCUCCACGCUCAUAGCCGGCGCGUGUGUUCCAUUUCCACCAGAUCACUGGAGUUAGGCGGUAGAUAACGACGGGAACGAACGAAGCUGAGAAGCCAACAUUACAAAUUUACUAAUCACGUUAUAACUUCUACAGUUUCACGGUUCAAAAAUAUUUCUUCAAUUUUACACUGUCUUGCGGCCAGUAACCUUAAAACAAAACAAAAAAAAAACGAUGAGGAAAAUAGAAAAAUAAGAAUGAAAAUUAGUAUUUAAAUCAACUCGAAAAUUUGACGAUGAACUCAAACUGCGAAGACAACUAAAAAACUGACAAAUUAUAAGUGUUUACCUAAACUAGAUUACGGAUCUCUAUCUUGUGCUCUUCUCAUAUGUAUUUGUAAGAGCUCAUUGCUAAGUCGUUUUGAGAUCUUUGCCUCCUAGCAGUUUUUUUUGUCUUGUUCACCUAGCAGCUUAGCUUCUACAAAUUCAGACUCGCUCGUUAUAAUUCUCUAACAAGAUUUCAUGUAAAAGUUGCUCCAAAAAGUAUAGUAAUAAAUGAAGAAACAAGAAAUCUUGAAAGGUAAAUGCUGUCAACUAGUGACUAUCAUGUGGUUGGCAUAUCAACACAAAUUUUAAAGUGUAUAAUAAUCUUUUAUACGUACGAUAAUGUGUUUCAAUCCAACAUUUUUUUUAAAAAAAAUUCAAACUUCAUGAGUUUUUUUUUUCUUUUGGAUAACAUAAGCUAUUAACAUCAUCUUGACUGGUAUACAAAAAGAACCACUUGAAAAUUAUAAUUAUUUUAUAGUUUAUCAUAAAUAUUUUAUGAAUUUUCAUUUGAAAACUUCUUGUACUUUUUAAUGUAAUGAUAUUCUUUUGAAAAUCUUUAAGAGAGAUUCUCUAAAUAGUUUGAUAUGGAGGUGAUCCAAACAUCUGAAAGCCAGUGUUAACAAAAAAAAAUCAAAAAUUUCAAUAGUACCUACAACGACUAGUAUAUUUUUUUUUUGAAUUACUGAAUUUUUAGUUUUUUAUAAUAAACUAAAACUAUAUAUUUUUUAUUUUUUUUAAAAAAUAAUUAAACCAUAACUAUAUGAAAUAACAUAAUAGUGCAAUGAUAUAUAGAAUUUUAUAUUUUAGACAAAAUAUUUGAUUGUCCAUAUAAUGAUAAUAUUUAUUUCCCAAAUUCUUGGUGAAAGAGAUAUAUAAUCACAGAGAACCUGUUUACUUUUCUGUAAAUCAAAGCUUGCAUUAAGAAAUCAUGUUUGGUAUAUAGAGAGAGCCUGUUUGGUAACAGAGUCUGCCCUACAAUUAUCCAGUCUAGGAAUAAACUUAAACUUAACAGAAUUAAACAGAAGGGAAAUUAGGUGAAUAUCGAUGAGAAGAGUCGUGAUCUCAAGGUGUCUACCUUUGGAGUUCACAAGCUUGAUGAGACUCUCAUCAAGAGAACCUGUUUACAACCUCUGCUAGUUUGUGAUUGUCAAUUUUUCGUAAAAUAAUGCUAUUUUAUAUAACAUUUAUUAUCCGGUUAUAGUUUGUUAUAACCACUCAUUGAAGAGAAGAAUUUAAAUACGUCACAUUAAAGUUAAGAUUGACAAUGAGAUGAAAAAGUUUAUCCAACCAAUCUAAUUGGUCUUCAUCUAGUUGAUCACUAGGGCUCAUUUCAAGAUAAGUCUACAAUCCAUAUACCUAGUGGGCUCCAAGAUUGAAAUAUCAUCCACUGUCGUAUGAUCUUAUCAACGAAGCAAGUGGUAAUGAAAAGAUAAUUGUGCAUUAACACUUUGGGGAUAUCGGUUUCUCGUAUAUAUACUGGAGUAACUAAUCUUGUACUCAUGCACACUUAAAUCAAAUUGUGUUUUGUUAACCAAAUGAUUGUAUUCGGCUGAUCAUUUCACUAAUGAUUAGUUGAAUAUUUAUAAGACAUAUAUAUUCCCUCAUUUGAUAUAACUUCUUUUUGUUGGAUUACAUAAUCAUUUUGUCUCCAGAUCCAUUGACCAUAAAAAUUAUCUGCAGUCCUAAGUAUUGGUAUUGUAACCGGUUAGAUAAAUAGUGUCUCACCCCUGGGAAAAUGAGCAUUUUAUCCAUCAAUUAUUUGAAAUCAACAGUUUUAACACUCGAAUAUUGCUCGUGUAUAAUUAUUUCCUAGCUAAUAGUUGACUGCGUGAAGUUAAACAAAAUAGUCAACCGUUAACUGAUGAACAAAAAAUAACGGUUUCGUCAACUUUUUAAUGGUUGAAUAUUUUAACCAUAAUUUUACGCAGUCAAUAAUUAGUUAAGGAAUAAAUAUUAGCAUAUAAUAUUUGAGUAUUUAAUUUACCGAUUGAAAAUACUUGAAGAAUUAAAAUAAUACUAUUUUUAAAAAUCAUAAUUUAAAAUAUUCUUAAGUUAGAUAUAAACCAAUAUACAAAAUUUUUGCAUUUUCAAUGAGAUUUUUGAGUUUUUACAAUGAUGUACAGAAUAAUACAAAUAAUUAUAGUUGCAUCUUAUUGUUGAUGUACUUCAUAUCUAUAAAAUCACUGCUGGAUAAUUUCGUAUUGUUUUGACAAUUAUAUGUUGUACAUUGGAUCUCUACUUUAAACAAUCAUAUGUAAUUAUCUCUACUUUAGACAAUCAUAUAUUGUACAAAAGCAAUACAAUGCAAAUGUAAUUAGAUUAUAUUCAUAUGCUUUUAUAAAUAAAGUAAAAUACUUUUAUGGGAUUAAGUAUCUUGUAAAUUGGUUUAGAUUGAGAAAUUUUUAAAUAGAAAUUAUUUUGAAAAUCAUCUAAAGUGAUUUUAUAAACAUGAAGUACAUCAACCAUAUGAUGUAGCAGUAAUUAUUUUGUAUUAUUUUAUAGGUCUUUGUAAAAACUCAACGAUCUCUUUAUGAAGGAAAUAUCUCGUAUAAUAAUUUUAUUUUACUUGAAAAUAUUUCUAAUUAUGAUUUUUUAUAAAAAUAAUUGAUGUUCGUGAUUUUAAUCUUAUAAGGAACAUAACAAAAAAAUAAGUUUUUAAUUUCUCAACUAUUUUCAGUCGACAAAUUAAAUAGUCAAGUAUUAUAUGCACAUAUUUAUUCCCCAGCUAAUCAUUGACUGCACAAAAUUAUGAUUAAAAUAUUCAACCAUUAAAAAAUUGACGGAAACAUUAUUUUUCCAUUUAUCAGUUAACGGUUGACUAUUUCGUUUUCAAUUUCUCGCAGUCAACUAUUAGUUGGAGAAUAAUUAUGUGUGAUCUCAUUUUCUCCUUACCCCUGUCCAUAUAUAUUUAUAUAUGAGUACUUAUUGCAAAGAAUACUCCAUCAUCAAUAUUUACUUGUAAUCAAAUUUCUUUCUCCCAUUUAUAAAGUUGGGUGUUUUGGCCGAGAUGUGUUUCCGAGCGGAAGAUCAUGUUUUGGAGAAUCACAUAAUGAUAAAUUAGUUUUGUUCAUGCUUAGAUAAUGAUGUUUUUUUUUUUAAACACAGAUAAUGAUGUUCUUAGUUAUAGUUUUUUGGAUAAGUGAUGUUCUUAUAGUUUACUAGUUAUUUGGUCCAACCUGCAUGAUUAUGGUUUUUAUAUAUAAUGCAAGCCGAUAUUGAUCGUGCCGCUAAUUACUAUUGUUAUAAAUCCACUAUAUAUGGAGCAUAAUAGUUAGACUAAUAUAAAAUGAUGUUUUUUUUUUUUGAAACUGAAUAUAAAAUGAUGUUUUGUAUCAUCUUUUUGAAGUUUACAUUGCAUCAUUCUUCACAUAUUGGUACUGUGUUACAAACUUGCCAUAAAGUAGAAUGUAAAUUAAUGAUUUAUAUAACAAAUUGCUAUAUUAUUAUAGAAUGGUCAAAUUAAGUUGGAAGAAAUAUUAUCUCAUUAUCAAGGGCUCGAACCUUAUUUAGAGAAGAAACUAUGGAGUACUUCGUCAAAAAAAAAACUAUGAGUACAAAAAAAUUACAGUAUGGAGUAUUCUCGUAAACAUAACAUUAAUAGUAUGAACAAGAACAUGUUCGCAUUUAAGAAAACAUUAACUGGCCAGCUACGUACCAAUAUUAAAUCGUUACACUAUUAAUUUAAUGAACUUUUAACAAACCAAUUAGACAGGUUUUGUUAAUUGAUUGGUCUAUUAUACAGGGAAAACAUUUUUUUGAGUAGAAUUGCUCCAUGCUCAACACCUAUUGGUCGUUAUAUAUCUACCUCUCAUGAAUGGAUGGAUGAUUAUCCAAUUACUGGUUGAUCCAAUCAGAAAAUAAUACAAUCAAUUACCUAUUGUCUGUAUGAAAACGCUGUUUUCAAGAUACAAAGGGAGUUCAGUUAAAAAAAAAAGAUACUUAGCUAGUACUUUUAUAAAGAUGUGGAAGUUUUAUUGUAAAUCAAAACAUAAGGGUUAACUGGAAAAAAAUGUAUAUGAGGACAAAAUAAUAGCUUUUCGUUAUUUCAAAGAUGUCUGCAAGUUGCAACACUGCAUCUGUGAAUAUGCAUAGGAACAUUCAGAGGCGUGCCUACAGUGUAUUGAAAAAGGCAUUCGCCUUAGGCCCCCGAAUAAUAUUACGUUUUUUAGGGCCCCAAAAUUUAAAAUAAUUUCUAGUUUAGUUGUUUAAACUUAUUUCUAAAAAAAAUUUCUACGAGAAUCGAAUAACUCAAUUUCUAAAUCCAUAUACUUUUUUCUUAUAGGACAUAACAUAACAUAUUUACGUAAUAAAUUUAUUCUUGUAAGUGUUAAACUUAUGUAUUUCGCGAAAGUGAUAUAUCGUAUUAGAAAUUUUUUUUUUUUUAUAGUUAUAUAUAAAUUUAUUUUUAAAACUUGCCUUAGGCCCCUAAAACCCUUCGCACGGCACUGGGAACAUUCCAUGUGGGCUGUUUCCAAGAAACAUCAACUAAAAUUAUUAUGUAAAGCCAGUAAAGCUAAUCACAUGAUUAUUUCAUAAUCAACCAAAAACAUAUAUAUAUACUUUAUGAUCCAACGAUUACACGAGUUGGAUUAUUUUCUCCCCAUUUGGUCAUUUAUUCGACUAGAUCGGCUUAAUUCAUCGUAGAAGAUUUUGGUGUACCAAAUUAAGAUUCUAGGAAAGUAAAAAGUUGUUUAGAAAAUUGGAGUUUUUAGUUUGUUGGCCAAAACUAUAUAACGUUAUGAAGUUUCAGAACUAUAUAUAUAUAUAUAAACACAAUUUUUAGAGUUAAUGUAAUAUUUUUUAAUAUCAAUUUUACAGAAUUUAUCCAAAAUGACAUUAUUUUGAUAAAUUAACGGAUGAGUAAUACUUUUAACUGUCAAUAUAUAUAUUUAAGCACAAUUUUGAGAGUUCAUGUAGUAUUUAAUUUUUUUUUUAAUUUUACAGAAUUUAUUCAAAAUAACGUUGUUUUGAUAAAUUAACGGAUGAUUAACUCAUUUGAUGGUCAAUAUAUAUAUAUACACGAUUUUGAGAAUUUAUCCAAAAUAAUGCCAUUUUGAUAAACUAACACUUUUGAUGUUAAUAUAUAGGCAUAAAUUUGAGAGUUCAUGUAAUAUUUUUAAAUUUUUAGUUUUAUGAAAUCUAUCCAAAAUAACGUCGAUUUGAUAAAUUAAUGGAUUACUAACAUCUUUGAAAGUCAAUAUAUAUAAGUAUAGUUUUUAGAGUUUAUGUAAUACUUUUGCAUUUUUGUUUAGUUCAAUAUAAAAUAUACACUAAUAUAAAAUUUGGGAAUGAAAAAAAUGAAAUAUGUUUGAAUUUUUGUUGAAUUCAGUAGGAAUUACGCAAUACUACAAAAUUCGAAAAAAAAAUUGCACUAUCCGUAAAGUUCAGGUAAUAUAUCACAGAAUCGGUUCAAACUUCAUGUUACGCAGAAACAAAACAAUUUGAAUUUGGUUAUGGGCUGUUAAGGUAGGUUUAAUGGGUCUAUAUACAAUUCCGGUUGACACCAAUUGGGCUUUAGGAUUUAACUACUUUUUGAGUUUCUUAUUAUGCACAACUAUCCUUUAUAUACUAAAGCGCAAGUCGCAUCACCAAUCUAAAUUUGACAUGUGGAAAAUCUAUUUUUUUUAAAAAAAAAUUGAAAAAUACAAAAAAGUAAAACACGUUAUCAAAACAUGGAAGUUUGAAAAUAAGACAAAUAACCAACCUUUUACGACCCAAUCAGGUAAAGCAAUUUUUUAUGAAUUUUUCUUUGCAUCUCCUAUUUUUCUGGAGUUUAAAUUUAAACUAACACAAGUCAUUUAACAAUGCUCUGAUUGACAUGUGUCAUUUACAGUUUCUAAAAAAGGUAACCUUUUGUUUUCAAAAUAAUUAAUUAAAUACAUUCAGAAUUUUCAGCAAUCGGGUAAACCUAAAAAACAAAUAAAACAACCGCAAAAUCCCUUGCAUACUUUUUUGAAACUGCAAAAUCUAAAUCCCUGAAUUUUCUCAGAUCACCACGUCCAAAAGUGAACAUAACAUCAUAACUUCUAUAUCAUGGCAGUUUCAAACUGUUUAUUAUUAUGUAUGUAUAUAUAACUUUCAGUCAACUAAUUUGUUUCUAUUCGCUCUUUUUUUUUUGCCACAGUUUCAUCUUCCUCCUCGAAUUGUUUUUUUCUUUUGGGUUUUGAAUGUAACAAAAGAAAACAGUUACAUGUUUAUAUUUUUCCUAAAAAAAUCCAGAUUCAAUGUUACCUUUUUGUUGGUAAUUGAUUCAAUGUUAUCUUCUUCUUAACUUAAUGCUCUCUUCUUCUUUUUUGCAUGAUUCACAAUAAAGAUACCAAUGGAGUUUUCUCCUGAUUCAGAGCUUAGCUCUUCCAGAAAAAUGGGAAAUCAAAAGCAUUGUCAAGGUAAUAGUAAGUAUAUAUGGCUAUAUUAUAUAACGUAUAUUGGAUGUAGAUUACUUCUUUCUCUUUCUUUGACAAAAAGGAUUUGACUAUUUACAAAUAUGUGUUUCUUUCAUUGGUUUAUGCUUAAGAAGACCAAGGGACAACAGAUUUAGAUGUGUAUACAGAGAUUCCAAACACCAGACCUUAACUCGAUUUGAAAUACUAACGUGAGUAUUUGACAAUUUUUUCAGCUUACCAGAAUUUGUUUUGGUGUUUUAAAGCUUCCUCUCCAAAAAAUUAGGUUUAUAAUGGUUAUAGAGAAAAAGAAAACCUGGGCCAUAUUACCACUGAGGAACGUGAAUAUAGUUUUUGGUGCUGUGGUGGGAACUACCGAACAUGAUUAAGGUCAAUUGUUCAAGUAAAUUUAUGGAUAAUGAAAGUUGUUAUAUUUUCCUUGGUACAAUAUGUAUAUUUAUGGGUUUUAGUAGAAGAAGUAAGUUUGUAUUUAGACCCAAAAAAAAGUAAGUUUAUAAAAGUGUGGAUGAUAAAGCUAAUUAGUUCUGUAACAUGUACAUAGAAAACAAAAACGGAACAAAUGUCAAUGUGAUUUUAAUUUGUAUAUCACCAAGUUCUGAAAUUAAUCCCAGUUAUUUUAUUUUGACAAACAAAUUUAUUAUAUCCCUUAUAAGUACAAAGAAAUUGCAUAUUUUAUGUUUUAUAGUUUGUCAAUAUCUAAAUAAAAAUUUCACUAUCUUUUAUGGAUUUGUUAUGAUAUAUUAAUAAGAAGUUAAAUUUCUUUUUGAUACCUUAUGGAAAGCUAAAACAUAAAUAUAUCUAAACUUAUUUUCAUUCAGAACUAUUUAUAUCUAUCUUCAGAUUUAAUACUCUAACUUAAAUUUGACUCAAAAUAGUGUUUUCGAAUUUAGAAUGUAAUACUAUUAAACAUUAUAUGAAGACGAAGAAACAACAAGGUCGCACAAAUAGAGUUAAGAAAUGAGACCAUGUGUAGAAAUACUAAAGUAAUUGUUUUACCACUUUUAUUUCGGUUGUUUCAUUGUUAUUGUUUUUUCAUAGAUUUAUAGCCAUGUGGCAAAAGAAAGACAUCUUAUGUUUCCCUUAAGAAAUAUGAAGAUGACAUAUCGGUGGUGCUGCUGGGACGCAAUUGAGGUAAUUGUUAUGAUUUUUCUCGAUAUAUUAUCCAUAAUUUAUGUUUUAUGUAAAUAUAAAUUAACACUCUUCGGUAUCUCUUGACACCCAAUAAAAGUGGUAUGACAAUAUACGUGGAGUUAAUAUAUUUUUAACCCAAAGUGUAUUGUCAAUACAAUACAAUACACGUUCAAAAUAUAUGUUGAAUUUAUAAAAAAUUAAGAUUGUUUCCCGUACGUAGUACGGGAUCAAACACUAGUAGUCUAUAAUCCAGUGUCUUACUUAAAAUUGCAAACGUUGAAGGUGGAAUCACACAUAAUUACCCGUAGUAGCUUUUCUAUUUUUUUAGCUGUAGCAGUUAAUUUGGUAAAGAUAACAAUGACAUCUUCAUCAUCAUCAACAACAACAACAUGAUUAAAGACUAUUCAUAUUUUCUUUAUAGACUACCAUCGUCAUAAUUAACACCAUGGGCCCAUGGCCAAGACUUAUCAUCAUUUGUAAGAUUGUAUCACCUUCAAUAUAACCUUUUUGUUGGUAGCUAACCUCUGGUGAUCAUAUGGAAACAUCAUCGCGGCCAUGUUUUUCAGUUCUUAAUUGUAACCCAUUACCACUUCAGCUUUUUUUUGUGUGCAUUACCACUUCAGUUUCUCAACAUGAUCAUAUAUAGUUCUAGAAGUAACACAUAAGAACAUGUAAUUCGUAUUGAAUGUGACAGGUAAGAGUCAACAUAAGUUACCAUAUAUAAGGGUGCAGAAACAUUUAUGACUUGUGUAUAGGACCAUAUAUACAAGUGUUUGUAAUGUGUGGUCCUCGCGAAAUUUAGUAAUAUAAUUACAACGUUAUGCAUGUGAUUCUGCGUGCAUGGACAGUUGUGCUGUUAAUUCAUACGUACAACAUAAAUAAAUACCCAUUCAGUGUCCAACAGAAGUAACUAGACUCUUUCUGUUUCUCUCAGUAUACAACAGUAACAAGAAACAACAAUACUACUUCCAGAAAAAAAAAACUCCCGAACUUGAUUUUAAGCUAGGAACUAGAUUUUGACCUGUGCUUUCAAGCACGGGUUUGAUUUUGUUUUGCUUUUCAUAAUUAUGAAAUUUAGGGUUUGAAACAUAUAAUUUUGAAGAUUAUAUCACUAAUAUAUAGGUCAUUUGCAUAAGCACAAUUAAUUUGUAUAAAAUUUUAUCACGCGUUUGCGUUUUUGUAGUUUGUUCGAAAUUUGUUUAAAAAUUCAUUUGUGUGUAAAAAUAGUAUAACAAUUUGAAACCGGUAUAAAUAUAGUGUUAUUAGUAACAAUUUAUGUUACAUUUAAUUGUAUGUAUAUUAACAAUCAAACUACCAAUUAUAAAACCAAGUAUUAGAAUAUUUUUUAAAUUUUUUUUUAAAAGUAUCUAUAAUAUAAAUCUAAACUACAAUUUCCUAUUUUAUAAAAGUAUCAGAGAGACAUAUGUUCCAUUAUUAAAAGUUAGGUUUAAAAAAAAUGUUUUAUUCACAUAUAUUUUUGUAAGUUAUGUUCUUAAGUAUUUGGGAUUUUUCAUAUUUUAAAUUUAAUGUGGGUCUCAAUUUAAUUAUGUUAAAAAUUUUGGUCUUAUUAAUUUGGAUUUAUUUGUGUUAGAAAUUAAUUUUGUAGUCGAUGGUACUAUGCUUCUUGUGGGUGAAAUGAAUAUUUUAAUGUUUUUAAAAGUGGGGGAAAUGAAUAUUUCGAUAAGGUUAUGUUAUAAUAGGUUGUGCUUUGGUUUUGGUUCAUGUAAUUUAUUUUGUUUGGGUAGGGUGGUUUAGCAAUCUAUUUAGAUGGUUAAGAAUAAAUAAUAAUGUAUCCAGUUUGAUAGUUAGAGUUUGAUAGUUAGAGUAAAAACGCUUAUAUAGGGUAAAAUAUCUUGUCACGUAUUAUUAUAAUAUAAAGGAGAAGUCCAAAAAAUAAAAAAGUAAAGGGUCCAAACAACCUUUUUAAGUAGAUUUAUUAAAACUCCUUCCCUUUUAAUAGUAUUGAUAUACUAAGGGAUUAAGUUCAAAAAUCUAUAUUCUAGGGCCGGACUAUUAGUUCCGUUCAUAUUUCAUAUCUAUACUAUUAUCUGUGAAGUAAUUUUUUGGAAUCGAGCUCUCACGUUAAAAGUUAGUGCGGUUAAUAUCGUUUAUACCCUUAAUGAAUCAAUUAUAUAAAUUAGUCAAAAAUAAAAGCGAAUUUUAGAUCUAUAUGAUUAAAUAAAUGAUCAAAAUUAAUAAUAAUCAGAAUUAUCUAAAAUAUAAAUAAUUAUAAACGAAUUUCUAUAAAACAUGAGAUAAUUCUUAAAUAUAUUAUGUUUUUAUCUGUUUAUACCCUUAAUGAAUCAAUUAUAUAAAUUAGUCAAAAAUAAAAACGAAUUUAAAUCUAUCUGAUUAAAUAAAUGAUUAAAAUUAAUAAUAAUCAGAAUUAUCUAAAAUAUAAAUAAUUAAAAACGAAUUUCUAUAAAACAUAAGAUAAUUCUUAAAUAUAUUAUGUUUUUAUCUGAAAAUAACAUUAUUUUUUAGAAUUGAACUCUCACGUUAAAAAUUAGAGCGAGUAAAUUUUUGAAAUCAUGUUCUCACGUUAAAAGUUAGAGCGGUUAAUAUCGUUUAUACUCUUAAUUAAUCCGCAAAAAUUACUUCGCAAAUAAUAGUAUAGAUAGAUUUUAAUGUUUGAUUUUUUUUGAAACAUAAUUAAUAAUUUAUUAUGUUGGUUUUUGAUUUAAUAAUUAUAAACUAAUAAAUAUCUAUAAAAAUAAUAUGCCCGCAUGUGCGGGCAGAAUACAUAGUUUCUAUGUAUUUGUCAAUGUGUGUUCAAUAUAACUUUUGAAAUCUGGUUUAGUGUAAUGUGUGAUGAAUUAAUUCUGUAAAUUUUGAUCACCAGAUUUGCUAAUUUCACAUCUUAAUUAUUUAUAUAAAUCUUACACUAGAGCAAAACGGCUUUCUCUCACCUAGACAAUCGAUCUCUUUGUCAUACAUGGCAAAGGUUUAUCAUUACUGAAUAUUUUUUAAGAAAACAUGUACAAAACACAAACAUGGUAACUUCUGAAUAUUCCGAAAUCUUCAAAAUUUGAAGAUAUGUACAAAAACAAUAUGAUGAGUACUUUUGAAUAUUCCGAAAUAUUCAAAAUUUAACAUAAGUACAAAAACAAACAUGAGUGUGUUAACAUUCCCAAUUAUUCAUAUUUAUUGCCUAGCUCAUAUACAUCUAGUUAAUUAUUGUUAUCAUAUAGCUCUAGUUAAUUAGCUGUAGCUAGUUCAUUCGAUAUUGUAAUAACAAUAUUGGAAGUGUAUUUCUUAUAGUAGUACGCAUGUCGAAACACAACACUACACGGAAUUAAUAUAAAUACAACAUUAGUUACAUAAAUUGAUGUUUUUGAUUAUACAUAUGAAGACUUUCAACACAUUACAACACAACGAAGUUACUAACUAAAUACAACCUUUUCUAUAACGUACACUUUAAGAUAUUAAUUAAUUAUUGUAAGGUAAAACCGGCACAGAAAAAUAUGGAUCGACCACAACCAUAGUGCUACUCCCAACACAAGCAUCACAAGAAAACUCAUUGUAAAACGCUCUUGCCUUCCUUAAUAUAUAGCUUAUGGAACAUUUCAUGUACCAAAACAAGCUUAUUUGAGCAACUUCACGUUUCAAAUCUCCGUAUUCUGUUGUGAUUACCGACUUACCGUCUUUGCGGUUGAGGUUGUACAGCUCCCCGUGUUCUUGUUGGCUCGUCUCCUCUUCUUUAACUGUCUGGUCUUCCAUAAACAAUAGUGCAUUAGGUAGAGGGUCUGAUUUUUUAAGGUCAUUAUGAUAGAUUUCCGUACGCGUUUUUCCAGGAAAAGCAUUGUUGAACAUGUUUUCGCUUAUGGAUUUUGAUGGCCGGGGCUUGUUUUCGUUGCGUUUACGAGGUUUCCGGGUCGAAAUUGAGAUUUUGGAGCGGUGGACUUGAGCGAGGAUGAUGAAUUUAGUAGCCAUGAGACUGUUGAGUGUGCUUGCUAUAUGGUAUGAAGUGAUUGGUGUUGAAUUGCUCUUUUCGGUCCUUAAGAUAUUUAUAUGCACACAUCUAUACAUACACAUCAUUCAUGUAUGUUAUGUAUAUGUGUUAAACCUUUGGUAUGAUGUAAUUUUUUUUUCUACCAAAAAGCUUCAUUUGUCGAUGGGUAUAUCUUAAAAGGAUGGAAUCAUGCAUGGUUACUAAAAAAAUGAUUGGUUUUGGUCUAAGCGUACAAUAUUAAUUAAGUGGCAAUUUUAAGCUUUCGCAAUCUUUCGUUGUAUAUUUUUUUUGGUAAAAUCUUUCGUUGUAUAUUACCUAACAAUUAAGAGGCAGAAACCUAUAAAAAAUAUUAAAGUCCAUAAAUUUUGAAAUAUAAAAUACGAUAAUUACUUAUAUAUAAUUCGAUAAUUAUUAGAGAUUCUCGGACUACUCUCGCAUUUGGUUAAUUAAGUCUGGGUUUUGAUUUGGUUCGAGUUCUAAUAAAACAUCAUCUAAACUUUUUACAAUUUUAAUUUUCUAUUGGUUUUUUUUCAUUUUUUACUUUGGUUUGAUUCAUUUUUUUAUUUUGCUCAUCUAUUUAAAAUUUUAAAACAUGACGUACAUUUUAGAGUUAACACUUCUUCAUAAAACGAGGAGUGAAUCUUUGUUUCUUUAUUUUUGAUUCAAGAGUUAAGUCGAGUGUUUUCAGACUAAAGAUUUAGUUUGCACGUCCGUACUGUACGGAAUAGGUUUGAUGUAUGAUUUUACAUUUCUACAUGCUAUAUUACGCAUAUAUGUUUACAGUAUAUAAUGAAUCAUGCAUACAUAUGUGCAUAUUCUAUUUAGACGGUAGAUCAUGUGGUCUAUAUUGCUGGAUCUCAAUCGGUGAAAAGAGGGGGGCCAUGAAAGCUGGAUGAAAAUGAAAUGUACUUUGCAUUGACAAAUGACUUUACCUCUUCCAUUUCACAAAUUCUUUUUUACUAUAAAUGAUUUAUCUAUAAUAAAUAUAGAAUAAUUCUAUUCACACGUUAUGACAGAAGAAGAACCUAGAAUCUAUGGAACUUCGAUACGGAUAUAGAAAGUAUGGUCCAUACCCACGUGCAAGUUGUUUGGUAUCUGUAUGUUUCCUUGGUUCCUUUCAUUAAAAAGCCGGUGAGCUUACGCAUUUUCAUGUUUCACAUAUCCCAGCGUUUUGGGUAAUCGUCUCUCUCAAAUCACCCAAACUCAGUUAACUUUUCAGUCGUUAAGUGUGUACAAACUACGUAACAUCCCCAUUGCGAGAAUCCAUCUGAUAAUACCUGGCCUUAGGUGAAGAAACUUAUUUUAACAUUCCAUAGCGGAUGAUUAACUCCUAUAAUUUUAAAAUAGUCAUUCGUAAUAAGAUAAUAAUAAUGGCAAUUGGCAAAACAACCUUAGAUAGGGGUGUCAAAAUGGGUUGUGAUUAAUGGAUUGACCAAAACCAAACCAAUCCAUAGUUCUAAUGAGUUAAUAAUUUGGAUCUUAAUAGAUUAAUGGUUUAGUGGCUUUAGUGAGUUUAGUGAGUUGGAUUAAUAAUGGUUUGGAUCAAAAUGGGUUUACGGGUUAUCCAAUCCAACCCAACUCGUUAGUCAAGAGGGUUUCUAUCUUAUGGAUUGUAUUUGAGUUUUGACUCUCAUGGCUGAAGAUGGCUUCUUUGAUCAUGCGUAUGAUAUUUUGGGUUUUUGGUUUGAUAUUUUCUUAUUGGAAAAUGUCUUUUGCCUUGUUGUCUUUAUUGAAAUUCAGAUUUUUCGCUUCAUCAUAUAAGCUCAUUGCUAAGGGGUCUCUUUGACUAGUUUAUGAAGAAAUACUUGUAGACUUUCAAGCUUUAUUUUAUUUGUGGUUGGAAGAAUAUUCUUUGACUCUGUCUCUUCAUAGUGCUAAUAGACUUUCUUAAUGUUGACAGGUAUCUAUCUAUAAUGCAUUGUGCACCAGAUCACCAGCCUUUGCGUGUUUGUGGAACACUUGUAGCAGCAAGGUGAGUUCUUUUUCACAUAAGAAAUUAUUAUUAAAAUUUCAGUUAUGGCAACAGCGUGUAGCCGUCUAUUUGAUUUUCUUUUGCUAAUUUAAAAAUGAAAUGGACUAGGUGAUAAAUUGAUAGUCGGUGGUGUUGUUUGAGGUGUCAACAAAUUUGGCAUCAACGAAGAUGAUGAAUAAUGAAGAUCUUCUAAACAGUGGUGGUCAAUCAUCCAUGAGUGCAUCACGUCCAAGCUCUAUUGUGUACUCGUUCUUGGAUAUAUGGCUACAUGUUUGAUGAUGAAGGUACACAUACUUUUUUUCUUAUAAACUGAUCAUGUAUAUGAAAGUGUAACACUAUUUUCUUGUGAAAUUGUAGAUGAUAAAGGCGAAGGUGAGACAGUUGUUAUUAGACCGAGUCCAAAUGACGUGAAGACGUGAAGACAUGAUCACACAUCCACCAAAGGAGUAAGUCUCUUUUAUUUUGCUCAGUUCUGAAUUUCUGUUUGUCUUUUUGUGUGUGUUUUAAGCUUGUUUGUUCUGAAUUUCUGUUCUUUGUCUGACAUUUGACUUAAAAAAAGAUGAUACUUUGUUUCUUGUCUGACAUUAGACUUGAAAAGAUGAACUGAAACCAGUUUUUACUGGUUCUGAAUUUCUUGUUUGGUAAUGGGAAUUUCAGCUUUGAAUGUCAAUCUUAUCGUUUAAACUUCCACACAAAAAGUAGAGAUUUUGAAAUUGGGUUUGUUGGAUUGGUUCAUAGCUUCAGGUUUUAAGUAAAGCGUUCUCGAGGCUUGAAAAUUGCAGCUUGCUUGAACUCUAUUUCUUCACAUACUUAUCAAAAAAAAAAACUCUAUUUCUUGAAUAUUUUACAGGAGGAUUCCAACAAGAAUGUAAGGACAAAAACAGCAGAGGCUAGGGACAAGAAUACACACCUUCGUAAAAUGCCCAAACCUUUAUAUAUUUUGUUGAACCUGAGUAAUAUUUUCCUUUUGCAACAUUUGGAUUUUUGGAGUUUGAAUUAUUAUAUAAAUAUAUUGUGUUCAAAACUUCAAAUAUUUUGAUAAGUUAUAAUAUAUAAUUUGUUAAUUUUUUAUUAGCAUUUUUUGUUAUUAAAUGUUAGUAAGUCAUAUGGUAAUUUUAUUGUGAUGUAAUAAUAUAUUUGAAUUCAGUUUAUUAAUAGCAUUUUUGAAACUACUAAUUCAUUAAUUUAUAUGGAUUAUGGCUUAAUCCAAACCAUUUAGUUAACGGGUUGGAUUAAUUCAUGAUCCAUAAACUCUUCGGUCCAUUUAGGUAUAGUUUGGUUUGGGUUGGUUUAUCCAUUUCGACACCCAUUUUAGGAAUGGUGAGUACUAUACUUUCAUGUAUCCACUGUUCACUAACUAUCAUACCAUUUUUCUACACUGAAUAUAUGAUUGGCAACGUGAGUCUAGAAAAUAAAUCUCUGAUUUGUAUUGAUUUUUACAUUUUCUCAAAUCAAUAUCUGUUUAGGGUAUACUAAAAACAAAAGCAUCAACAGUGGAAGCAGAAAAUUUUAAUUCUUGUUUCUUUCUACUUUUUUAUGUACAUCAAAAAUUAUAUGUCGACGAUGUCAGAGACAACCCCUUCGAAACCAUGUCCUCCUUCACCUCAAUAGCUUUGCUCAAACUUCCUGCCUCGAUCAAACCAUCAAUCAGACUAUUAUACACAAUAACAUUAGGAAGAAACCCUUUCUCCGUCAUCUCCUUCACAACACCAUAAGCAUCACCAAAUCCUCUUAGCCUUGAUCAAGCCCUUAACAAGAACACUAUAAGUAACCAGAGUAGGUUCCACACCAUUCUCCACCAUCUUUUCUUUAAACAUAAACGCCUCAUCGUACCUCCCAAUCACUCCAAGACCAUCAAUAACAGUGUUGUACGUCACAACGUUCGGCACAACACCAGCUUCCUCCAUCUUCACCAACAACUUAAUACCCUCCUCCACUCUCCCUCUCUUGCAAAACGCGUUGAUCACUUUAGUGAACAAGUAAACAUAAGGAGAAACUCCUUUGCAAACAACUUCAAACACUUCGCAACACUUCGCAACACUUCCGAAACUCCUUAGCUCUCACCAGAGAAGUCAGCAGAACGUUGCAAGUCAUCUUAGACGGAUACAACUUGUUCACUACUGUAAGUCAUCUUAACUUAUGAAAAUUUUCGAAAAUGUAAAGACGCCAUUGAUCAAUGUUGAAGAAGGAUUGAAGCUGUUGUUGAGCCACACCAUGGGAGAGAGAGAGACUUGUUCAUGGAACACAGAGAGAGAGAGAGAGAGAGAGAGAGAGAGAGAGAGAGAGAGAGAGAGAGAGAGAGAGAGAGAGAGAGAGAGACGGAGGCGAUUGGGCAAAACCCAGGGUUCAGACUUGGGAGACACGAACGAGAUCGACAAAUAUGGGCCUGCGAAUGCUAAGCCCAUUAAAAUAACAUGUAUGCGAUAUAACACUAAAUGAGCUUAAAUCCAGGUAUUAUAACUCGCAAUGAAAUUCGUGUUGUUUUCCGUUUCAUUCCUCCUAAUGCGAAAUGGGCUUUCAGUUAACUAUUGUUUUAUUUUUCUAUAAAUAAAUGCAACCACUGUUCAUAAAAUUAAAGUUCCGUAUCGACCUAAUGUGAUUCCGAUGGAAACAUGGAAGAGCAUCCACAUCGUCUUUCUCUUGCAUGUGCUCUAACAAUUAAAAUAACAAUAUUAAUGCAAAAUGUAUGAGAGAUGGAAAAAAUAGAAAGAGGGAGGGGAGAUAGUGUUCUCGUUUGAGAGCACUAGAAAACACAAUGAGAACAUGUUCUAAUACGUGUCAUAUCACUACUGGUCUAAUUCUUGUUAUGUUUAUAAUUUAAUUAUAGUAUUAAGUUUUAUUACUUUUAUACGUUGAGAGCUUAGGGCAACAUUAUCGCAACGUCCCAGCUGAUCCUUAAGGGCAGGAGACCCACAAAAACACCAGGACCGAGGGGGAAAGUCGUUAUAUAAGCAACGUCCCAGCUCGUCCUUCGUCCUUUGAUAUCUCUUGCGUCCUUUGCUUUUUUUAUUUUAAGGACUUAAAAUUGUCCUAGCGAUAAUAAUGGCCUUACUUGUUAGAGCUUUUUUGUUAAUAUGGAUGCUCUAACGUGUGGGAAAACAGCGUAACAAUAAUAACAAAAGUAACCAUUAAAAAGUUCUUACAUGAGUUCUUAAUUUUUUUUUUAAAUACAUAUUUAUAAAGUGUGGUUUUGGGAUCUCAAAAUCAUGAAAAUCCCUUCUCAACCCAAAAUAUAUACACUUAAGAAACUUUGUUUGUGCACCUCCAGUAGAGUUCCUAUAAAAAAUUGAAUUUAAAAUAACAAUACUAACAGUUUGGCAAAAUUCUUUCAUAUCAUAAUUUUUAAAGAUACUAAGAGUGUGAUUGGAUACCACUUGAGUAAAAGAGAGAAAAUAAAAAGAUGAAAAUGAGAGAAAAUUAAAAAUGGUGAAAAAACAAGAAAGAGAAAAAAGAAGUGGAAGUGUUAUUAGUUAUUACUUAUUACUCUAGCAAAAUAAAGAGUAAAAAUUAGUGUGUAUUUCUCUCUCUUUUAAAUAUUAAGUGGAGUAAAAAUUGAAACAUUAAUUUCUACUUGAUUGGUAUAAUUUUAGUGGAACUUGGAGUAAAUAAAAAACUAGACCAAAAGUUUAUAGUACAAUACAAUCACACUCUAAUCAUGAAAUGUAACGGUGUGACAUGACAUGACAUAUCCCACACAUUGUCAGUUUUAAUCUAAUCAUGAAGAAAAUAAUGUUAUCACCUUAUGGAAUGAACCUUUAGCAUAUGGUUCACGUGAAAACAAAUUGACUCAGGGAUCACGCCAACUUGCAGUACUAACAUUCGUAACUAUGCGAUGUAUAAGAAAGACAACAUGCUUUUGUCACAAUGUUUUCAGACUGCCACUUGUUUUACUCUUAGUUCAAUAAGAUCCAUCGCUCGACUUUUUCUAGUAUUCGAUUGAUGAUUUCCUCACAAUAGUAUAUAUGGUACAUACUCGGUAAAAAGCUUAAUUAGUAAGCUAGACGAAAAGAAUCGAUCAACAACAAGUAAGCUGUAACUUCACAUGCUGCACUUUUAACAUAUAAAAAACUUCACAUGCUGCAUAGUUGUUUGUAUUUUAUUUUGUCGGCAAACGAUGAUUAUAGAAUCCUAUAAAGUAGUUCAAUACAACAGUUUGAUCUGUAUAGUAUAGAUUUAUACAACAUUGAUCCAAGAAAUAAGAUGAUUCUUUAAAUUAAAUCUUGCAACCUUGUCAAGGUUUCACGUCAUCAAUAGCAUCUCUUUUGAUGAGCAUGAAUUUGUAACGAAUUUAUAUAUUCAACGUAUCUAGCAUGCUAAUAACUUGAUGACUUGAUUGUCUAUAGUCUUGAAGCUUAUGGUGUGAGUUUUGCUGACUAAGGCUGGGAUAUAACACCUUUGAAUCUCCAAGGAGCUUCCAGUAGGCUCUAAAGAGGGUUGACCCCUUUAUUGAACCAUCAAUGGUUACCAACAUGCAACCAAUUACAAGUUUACAACUCUGUGCUUUUAUGACACCCAUGAUCCUUGUACAAACACAGCAAGAUGUGUUUCCUUUGACUAUAACUGCCUGAGCUGUUCUUACAACCGAUUCUUCUCUCUUUCCCAUGUUCCAGUGAGUAUCAUGAGCGUGAUCUUUUCCGGAUAUCUGAAUUAACGGGAGCCGCGUCAGGCGACCUCUAUAAUUUCUCAAAUUCAUUUCACACUUUUCCAUAUCUACUAAUAAUAGCAAUCCUAAUUAAUUCCAAAGGCUGUGAAUCCACUUAUAUUGAAAAGUUGUGUCUUUUGUAAAAAAUGUUUAAAAGGUUGUGUCUUUUACAAAAUGUUAAAAGGUUGUGUCUUUUACAAAAUGUUAAAAGGUUGUGUCUUUUCUAAAAAUUGAUUGAAAGGUUGUGUUUUUUAUAAAAAAAAUAUUUAAAAGGUUGUGUCUCUUAUACAAAAAUGUUGGAAGGUUGUGUUUUUUCUAAAAAUUAUCUAAAGGUUAUAACUAUUCAUAUAUGUAUCUUUUAAAAAGUGAAAAAUUGUGACUAUUCUUAUAAGUAUCUUUUCAAAAUAACUACAUUUAAAUUGGAAGAAUGCGACUAUUCAAAUUGAAGAGUUGUGACUAUUCAAAUAUAGUUUAAAAAUCUAUAAAUAGUCUAUGCUAUACAUUUCUCAAAAUAUAAUUUUCACUAAUCAACUAAUAAUAAAAUAAUAGAAAAAAAGUUCUAAACAGUUACAUGGAUACAAAUUGUUAGAAUACACUUAAAUGAAGCGUUAUAAGCAAAAAAUAUUAGGAAGAGAGUUUUACGUGUUUGGAUAGCUAAAAAUUCAAAACGAAAUAAUGAAAUCAUUAGUCUCAAUUUUCUUAUAUUAGGAAGAGUUCUUCAUAUUGUUGCUAUUUUAAAACAAACCAACAACCCCGUAAAUAAUAAGAUCACAUUUUAGUUUAUGUAAACUAUUUUUUUGUUUUAUUUGAUUUUGGUUGCAGAAUGAAACAAUUGUUGGUUCUAUUAAUAGUAAAUAUAUUCAACAAUUGGAAGAAUAUUUUGAUGAAGGAAACAUUUUAAAUGAUCAGUCAACAAUUGAGAUUAUUAGUGAUGCAGAAGUUUCAAUUGAAUUUGAGAAAAUUGAAUUUUUUAACUAUGACCAUUUUCGAUUGCUAGCCAUUCCAGAAGAUCAUGAGUAUUUGUAUAGUCACAACUCUUCUAUUUGAAUAGUCACAACUCUUCAUUUAUAACUGAUUUCAUUUUUUUAAUUUAUGUCUUUACAAUUCUAUUUAUUUUUUAUGUAUUUCAUAACAAAAUUAUAUAAUAACUGUUGACUGCUAUAAUAAAAUCUAAAAAUGAUGACGAGAUUAUAAGUUUCGAUUUUUUAUUAUAGGAUGAGUAUGUAAUUUUUUAAAAAAAAUUAGUAAAAAUAAGAUAAGAAUAAAACAAAUUUUAAUAUAUGAAUUAUAGAUUAUGUGAUCAAUCUAUAAUAAGUUUGCGCCAGAUAUUUCUGAAGGUAAAAUAUAUAAAUUUAGUGAUUUUGAAAUAUGGAGAUUGGAAGGGUUAAGAACAUCAUAAAAUUGACCAUUGGUCCCUUGACUAAUAAAGUUUUCUUAUUAUUUGCUCUUUGUUAAUUUUGUUAGAAUAUAUGAUAAAUAAUAUGAUGUUUUUCUCUCUCAACGAACACAUGCAACCUUCCAAGUGAUCAUAGUUACAAUAACUGUCACCAUUAACCUUAAGUUUUUUUUUGACAAUCAUGUUCUUCUUCUUUCAUUUUGAAUGAUAUUUUUUCAAACCAUCCCACAAAUUUUUUUUCAUUUGGAAAGCUUUAGUCCACUGUUGACUUUUCGAUUGUAUUGGAUCAUUACCAUUGGUGUUAGUCCGUUAACUAAGAUGAAUUUUCUUCUGUGUUCUUGAGGAAUAUCCCGGCAAUAGUAGGACUGAGCAGGUAGAGAAAUCAAAGGCAUAAGGAAAUAGAAAAUAGGAUGAAGAGACCAUGUAUAAAUUUCUUAUAAGUUUCUGAAGCGAAAAGGUCUAGUGGUUAAGUUUCUAAAAAUAUACAACUGCUCUAUUAUGAAAGAACUCAAUGAAAGGGUUCAAUUGUUAAUUUUCUGAAAAUAUAUAACUCUUCAAUGUAAUGGUCAUGUCUUUUUCUUAACUGAAUGAAAUUUCUAAAAAAAAAAUGAUAUGAAAGGGUUAGACGGUUAAGUUUUUGAAAAUAUCCAACUUUUUAAUUAUAAAAUAUAAAAUAAUUUAAUAAGAGGGUUUCAUGGUUAAGUUUUUGAAAAGAUACAACUCUUCAAAGAAUGAACACUUCUUUUGCUUAAAUGAAACUAUGACAGCAUAUUAAUGAUCCUAAAUGACAUCAUGACCAUUAGACUAGAGAUAGGGAAUACACUCCUCCGUUAGAUUUAAGUUUUUUUUCCUAUAAAAAUGCUGACGUCAACGUUAAAUUGAAUUUAUAUUUGUUAUAACAAUCGUAUUAACCAAUCCACUUGUUGAUUUAAAACCGGAGAAAUCCUUGAGAUCUUUCCAGACCCGAAUGUUUUGGAAUCGGAUCCAGUGAAUAGCAGAUCUCCAGAAGCAGCCAAGGAAUAUAUAUGAACUUCUUGUCUCACGAUCGUACCGGAUCAAACUGUUGUCCAAAUCAUCCUCGAUGGUUCGGGUCUGAUAGAUCCACGGAGACUUGUAGUAAGGAGAGUAAUUCUGGUUCCACGGCGAGGGAGACACCGUGGGCGUUGUUGUUGUGUUGGUGUAGUAAGUAUGGUUCCAUGGAGAGGAAGACAUAGUAGCAGUAGGCGUUGUUGUUGUGUCCCUGUAUUAUGGAGAGUAAGUCUGGUUCCAUGGAGAUAAAACUUGAUUAGGAGACAAGUCACCGACGCUCGUGGUAGAAGCAUUGUUUUGUUGUUGUUGGUUAUUCUUGUUACUACUGGGAUUGAUGACAUCUGCAGCACCAUGCCUGAUGCCUCUGUUCUUCUUCGUCGGCCGAGAGAUCGGUGUUUAAGAAGGCGGCGAAAGUGAGUCUACGGUGAUGACUACCAUUGGUUUCUGAAUUUAUAAACAUAUGGAAUAGUUGUUGUGAAGUUUCUUUUCUUUUUCAAGGAUUAAUGAGUUUUAAUUUCGGUAUCAUGUUCCAGGAAAAAAAGAGUUCGAAAAUGUCUUUUUUUCUUCUCAGGAUUGGUAGAGAAAAAAAUUGUUGAUUUGGUUUGUUUAAUGAAAUUUUAUUUUUUUGCUUCAUUUGAACUUGCAUAUUUAUUAACUAUAUUUUGUACCAUACACAAAUUCUGCAAAAUAUAUUACAUACAUAAAAAUUUAUUUAUUUUAAAUAGUAUCUUAUCUUUUAUUUUAAAAUACUGAUAAACCAAAGGAUUACAUAAAUAUGAAAACAGAGGUAGAGACUAAAUAUUAGAUAAACAAAAAAAGAACAAGUAGACUUGUACAUAUCUUUUGUUUAUCUAUCAGAUAAAGUUUAGAUUAAUAAAUCUAUUUAAACUAUAAAUAAAAAUAUCAAUGGUAAUUUUAAUUUAACAUACAUCUUGACCUAUAAAAUAUUGAUCUAAGACUCAAUAGAAGAAAAAUGGUGUAAUAUAUAAUGUAAAUGAAAUUUGGUGUUUAAUAAACUGCAUAGAGUUAUUUGAUACAAUUUGUUAUAAAAUUUCAUGAUAUAAUUUACAAGACAAAUAACAUUUUCAGAAUACGCCUUUAGUGGAGGCUUUUAAUUUACUUCCCAAUCCAACUAAAUUUUUACAUUUUAUAAUCUUGUAAAGACAAUGUUAAAAUUUUAGAAAUAUAUAUCAAAUUAAGCUUCAAACUUCACAAUUGUUAAAUAAAUUACCUUAAAAAUUUAAACAGAACUAAAAUAAAAUAUUUACAGAAGAAUAUAUUAAAAAUAUUACAAUAUUGUUUUAAGAGUCAAAUUAUAUUUUAGAGGGAAAUAUACAGAAAUAUAUCUUUAAUAGAAUUUUUCAAUUUUCAAGUAAAAUUAUAAAGUUAAAAAUAGAGGUGAGUUGGUCUUACACGUAAAUGAGAGAAGAUUAUUAACAAUUUAAAUGAAUAUUUGCAGUUGUUUAAGUGAAUCAUUAAAAGUGUUUUGUGGAACAGUUAUAACUGCUUAAAUAAAAUCUUACAACCGUUGAUGAAUGUAAUUUUUAGUGAUGAACCAUUGCGAUCUUUGGUGAUGAACUAUUGUAAUUGUUAGUAAUUACAGUCUUCCGUGAUAAAUCAUUGCAACUUUUGGUGUUAACCAACUAUUGUAACAUUUAGUCUUAUUUAUAAGGAGUUGUGGACACUGAAAAAUUGCAAAUAGAAAAUUACAACAAUCACAUAUAAAUUAGAAUGAAAAGUUUCAUUGUUAAAUGAUCAUCAAAAAUCUUUAAAUAAAUACAUACAAAUAUGAAGAAUUCUUUUUGUUAUUCUUGUAUCUUAACCUAAGCUUUGAAAUUUUGUUUGAAAACAAUAACAUUCGAGAGUAUUUAUAUCUUAAUACCACCUCAACUUCAAAAAUGUUAUUUAAAAAUAUAACAAAAACCAUUAAUGAUUUCAAAAAUGUAAAUCCAUAAUAUAUCAAUUUAGUUAAUUUAUUUGCGUUAGUUUAAUAUAAUAAUUCCUAAUGUUUUAUAAAAACCCUCCCAAACAUUUAAGGCAAUAUUAUAACUGGGAAUGAUCAUAUCAGUAUAAAAUCACCAUAUAUUUAUUAUGAUAUCCAGUUUCUUUAAUAUACUUUCUCAGAAAAGUAAAUAAAUAUAUAAAAUAGUAAUUUUUAUUGUCAUUGGCACAUAAAUUGUAAUUUUUUUAAAAAGAGUAAAAACUAGUAAUUUUAAUAUUGUCUUUUUACUAAGAAAAAAUAUUUAAAUUUCAUACAAAAUAAUUGAACAUUUUAAAAGAAAUAGUUGGAACUAAAAUUCAUGUGACAAUUGUAAAAAAUAAACCUUAAAAGAGGGAGACACACUUGUAUGCAAUAUUUUUUUCUGAUAGAAAUAUAAUCGGAUCAUAAAGUUUUAUAUAAACAUAUAUUUAAAUAUUUUGUAAAUAUAUUUUAAUUAUCAAUAUUAUAUUUUUUGGUAUCGAGAAGAGUUGAUUGUUGAUGAUGAUUUAUAUACAUAGUCUAUUAUAAUAUUUAACAAAGAUGUUUCAGUUAUUCUAAAUUAGCCAAUAACUAAAUCACACAUUUAAUAUUUAUUCGUUCAAAAAAUUUAAUAUUUAUUGUAUUUUACAUAAUCUUAUAAAAUAAAUUAGUUUCCACGUAUAGGUAUUCAUAGUGUAAUUAAAUAGAUCAAAUUUUAUUGGGGAAUAUGAAUCCAUUGAUGUAUUCACAGAUAAAAAUGAUUUUAUCAUUCAUUCUAUUAUUGGAAUGUGUUUGCUUUUAAUUAGUUUCAAAUAUUCAGUUGUUUUCGAGAUUUUUGAAUAACUCAGCUAAAUGGAUAAUAAAACAUAUAUCUUAAUUGGUAUUGACAUAGUUAUAAUUUUACUACAAGCAAACCUAUAAACAAAAUAUUUUUUUUUAGCAUUAUCAAUAAAUGAAUACAGUUGCAUGUAAGAUAAUUUUGUAACAAAUGUAUUUUCUCAAGAGCAAUUGUAAACCGUUUUUGUAUGAGAAUAUUUUAUAAAAUAAGAUACAGAUAUUUUACGAAAUGAGUUCCGUGCGACAUCGCACGGGUUUCAACUAAAGGGAAGAACUUAAUAUAUAUUAUCAGCUAGUAAUUUAUCAUAAAGUAGAGCUGCUCAACAAUAUCAACUAGUGUACGUGCUGUUGAAAAGUUGCUCACUUGGAGGACACUGAAUCAAAGAGGUCUCGCUAGAUGAGCAAAUUGUUGGCGUUUUCUCAUUAUUUGUAUAUUUUACCAAAAAAUAUUUGCACAUAAGUGAAAACUAAAUAAAAACAUUUAAGGAGACGUUAGACAAUAAGCAAAUCAUACAAUGAACUUUUAUUUAUUUUAUUUUAAUAUUUAGUUUUAUCUUUAUUUGUUUGAUUAAUACUACAUCAUAUAUAUGUCAUAUCAUAUUUAAGGAGUAUUUAAUUUUUAUCAUCAAUGUUCAGCAGUAUGUCUAUCCCUUAUUGACUACUAUUAAUUAUUUUUGAUGCUUUUAUAUACUUGUGGGUUUCACUGGUAACAUUAAAGCGCAUGUGCUAAAAAUUUGAUAUAAUGUUGAUACUGCUGUCUUUUAUGACUUCGUAGCUUUAAAAAUAAAACUAUAUCAAUAUUGUUUAUAUGCUCUUUUCCCCCUUAUCAUUUCUAUCAACAACUGGAUCCAAUAAAAAAUAUCACACAAAAUAUUAGUUUGUAAAAUUUGACUUUCCACAUUCACAUUGUUAUUUUUAUAUUAUUUACUCUUCCACAUUAACAUUUUUAUUCAGUAGUAUAUACGAUAUAUAAAGAGGUUCCAGCUGGAGUUUCCGCCAUAGGUUCGAUUCUUCUCGACCAUCCAUAGAUGUUUUAAAUGGCAAAAAAAUCCGGAUUUUAUGGGCUUUUUGGUGAUUAUUCUUUGGGCCUAGAAAACCUUUGGGAUUAUACCAAGAUUAUCAAAAAAAAUAUAUACGAUAUAUAUAUAUAUAUAUAUAUAUCACAUUCAUACUGUGUUAUUGAGUUACUAUUCUACGUCAAAACUACUAUACGGCCAUAUACGUUCAUACCCUAUCUUUAUCUUAAAGCCAUCUCUAAUCAUCUCCAAAAGACACCGUUUUCAAAAUCGUGUCUUAUUUUUAGAAGAAAAAAAAAUUGCCACGUUGCAGAAGAGUUGUAUUUAUUCUACUUUAAUGUCUUUUUUCUACUUAAAUAUUGUCAGCACAAGAAUUGAUUAGUUUAUUUGUGAUAAAUACAACACCUCCCAAGCAGAAAAAAGUCACUCACACAAACACCUCGAGCUCUCUCUACCAUACAAACCAAAAUAUAUUCGGUGGUUCAAUCUUCAGUACCCGACGCCGGCGGAAAGAUUAUGGCGGGACAGUCGCGAAAAUGGAUGAUUCUGGUGGCAACGAUUUGGAUUCAGGCUUUUACCGGGACCAACUUCGAUUUCUCGGCUUACUCUUCAGAUUUGAAGUCGGUUUUGAAGAUUUCGCAGGUGCAGCUUAACUACCUCGCCGUGGCUUCUGAUCUCGGGAAGGUGUUCGGGUGGUCGUCGGGGCUUGCGCUGAUGUACUUCCCGCUUUGGACGGUGCUUUUCGCUGCGGCGUCUAUGGGAUUCGUCGGUUACGGAGUACAGUGGCUUGUCAUCACUAACUUCAUUUCUCUGCCUUAUAUUAUGGUAACUUCACUAUUCUUUUACUUUUUCUUUUUGAUGAAACUGUUUUCUAUUCAUUUUUAAAAUAUUGUGUUUCUUGUUGUUGUUGGCAACCACCUAGCAACCACAACUUUAUAAAUAAUAAUAUAUAAAAAGUUAAAAAGAAAAUCAUGAUUCGGCAUAAUUCUUUAUUAUUUAAUGUUCAUUAUUCAUAGAGAACUCGUGAAGAAUGAAAUAGAAAGGUAGAGAUUUGUAUAAACUAGAAAUUGUCUUCAUUGUUGAUAAAUGAAAUAAAUUCCCAACAAUUUGAUGUCAUUCUUCAUUCGUAACUCAAAAAACGAAGAGUUAUAUUAUGUCAGCUUUACUCGUCUCUACUUUUUGUUUUGAUGAAAUUGUGGGUUUAAAAAAAAAAUUUCUUAUCCACUACUCUCUUUUUCUUAUGGAACACUUCUUAUCACUACUCUUUUGUUGAGAAUCACUACUAAAUGAAAAACAUGAAAAACUUGUGAAGACACAAAAUAAAUGUGCAGAGAAUGUAAUAGUCUACAAAAAUUAUCUCCGUUGUUGUUUGCUGAGAAACUGAAAUAUAAUAUAGCGCUUCAUAGUUAAAGGACAAUUCUUAUAAAUAGAUCAUUUUCAAAUUUUGGUCACAAAAAUAUACCACAAGGAAGAACAUGACCAAAAUGUUUCAUUUAAUAAGUAAAAGGACACUAAUAUCCUAAAUAUAUACAAAAAUUAAAAAAGUAAAAAAAAUAUAUAUAUAUAUAUAUAUUUUUUAUAGUUUUAGAUUAUAUGUUUUCAAAAUUUAUAAAAAAGUUAAAAUUCGAACUUUUUUAUAAAUUUUUCUUUUUUUGAAUUUUUUUUCAAAUUUUCUUUUUUUAAUUCGAAAAUACUUUUUGAAACUAUUUUUAAAAUUUUUGUUUUCAAAUUUUUUUAUAUGUUUUUUUAAUAUUUUUGUUUAAUAUUUAAUAUUUAUUAAUAUUUAAUAUUUAAUAUUUAAUAUUUAAUAUUUAAUAUUUAAUAUUUAAUAUUUAAUAUUUAAUAUUUAAUAUUUAAUAUUUAAUAUUUAAUAUUUAAUAUUUAAUAUUUAAUAUUUAAUAUUUAAUAUUUAAUAUUUUUGUUUUCAAAUUUUUAUAAAAUUUUAAACCUCAAACUCAAAUCUUCACUCUUUAAUUCUAAACCCUAAGGUUUGGAUUAGUUAACCCUAGGGAUAUAAAUGUAUAUUUACUUCUUUAAUGAAACAUUUUGGUCAUUUUAAUUCUUAAAUGUACAAGUAUAUGAUUUAUUUUGUAAAAUUAUUAAAUAUGAUAUGAUAAAAGUUAUCAAACUGCAAUAUUUUCAUGGGGAAAUAGUUUUAUUUCAUAUCAUGCAAAUUAUAUUUGAAGUAUAAGACAUAGUUCUUUCUAAUCAUAAGUAGUUUUAUGUGGAAAGUUUAAUGAAUUUUCUAUUUCUUUGAAAUGACUUUCAUGUUGGUUGUUAUAUCUUAGAGUUAUUCAUAUGUUCAUACAUAUAAUUUUGUCACGAUUCACAAAUGAGACUAAACCAAAACUUUUCGAGUAACAAACUGGGUGACGAUUGAUUGGUAGAUAGGGAGUUCACAAUUGUUUCUUUUGUUUGUCGAUUUUUCAUAUCUUUUUUUUUCUUGGUAAAUACAUUAAUUUUUAGGAACUUCCAUAAAACUUGUUGGUCCAACAAGUCUUCUUCUUUGCAUGUUCGGGCUUGUCUCGUGGUUGAUGGCUAUUUCGAAAAUCUGCAACUAUUUUAUAAUUUAAAAUAUGACGUCAAAAAAUGAAUAUUUAUUAUCCUUUAUAUAAAAUUCUUAUUGUCUAAAUCAUAUAUAGAUAUGCAAAAAAUGGCCACCGGAUUUUUUAUUAAACGUCUUUUUCUGAUGAGUAAGCUGUUUGUGGUUGAGAAAAAUCAAUGAAAUAGAUAUACAAAUAUUAAAUGUGACGCUUUUAGAGUUAAAUGUUGUCUUUCUCAAACAGUCAAACUCAAUCAUUAUUGGGGUAAAAUAAUCAAAAACAAAAUUUGUAAAAUAAUCAAAUUUAGUAGUUAGAUUUUUUUAAUUUCUUGUCUCUGAAGAAACUUUGAUUAAUAUUGGCUCGUUACUAUACAGGUGUUUCUCUGUUGCUUACUUGCUGGUCUAAGUAUCUGUUGGUUCAACACAGUCUGCUUUGUGCUCUGCAUCAGCAACUUCCCUGCAAACAGAGCGCUUGCCCUUUCCCUCACAGUAAGCUUCAACGGUGUAAGCGCUGCCUUAUACACACUUGCUUACAACGCAAUCAACCCAACCUCUCCAGAGCUCUACCUCCUCUUAAACGCUCUCAUACCACUCGUUGUCUCCUUCACUGCAAUCAUCCCGAUCCUUCGCCAACCACCUUUCGAGCCUCUUCCACCAGAUGGAGUUCGCCGUGACUCUCUCAUGUUUCUACUGCUCAACAUUCUCGCCGCUCUAAACGGUGUUUAUCUCCUCCUCUUUGAGUCAAACUCCUCUGAUAUAACCUCUGCUCGUCUCCUCUUUGGUGGUGCAAUCAUCCUCUUGGUCCUCCCUUUAUGUAUCCCCGGUUUAGUCAUCGCCCGUAACUGGUAUCAUCGCACGAUCCACACAAGCUUCCGCCUCGAAGGUUCCGGUUUCAUUCUCGUUCAUCCUGAUGAGCUUGAGUUGCAUAAAGGGAUGGUUGCACAUGAAGCCAAUAGAGAAGGCUACCAAUUGCUAAACGACGACAUUGUGCAAAACCUUGUUAUUAAGACUACAGCUCCAGAGGAAGGUGACACUGAUGAGUCCUGUUGCAAGAAGCUUAUUACAAGAGGCCAGCUUGAGAUAUUGGGAACUGAACAUUCUUUGUCGCAGCUCUUACAUAGAGCUGACUUCUGGUUCUACUAUAUUGCGUACUUCUGCGGUGGAACCAUCGGACUUGUGUACAGCAACAACCUCGGACAGAUUGCUCAGUCUUUAGGACAAAGCUCAAAGACUACAACUCUUGUCACACUUUAUUCUUCCUUCUCAUUCUUUGGAAGAUUACUCUCGGCAACACCGGACUAUAUCCGAGCGUAAGUGCAUUUGAUCCAUAUUAAUUUAUCGUAUUUAUUAAUUUAUCAAAUAUUAAUUUAUAGAGUUUAUAGUUUGGUUUAGCGGGUUUUGAUUUGGUUUAAGUUGUACAGGAAGGUUUAUUUUGCAAGAACCGGAUGGUUAGCAAUCGCGCUUUUGCCAACACCAAUCGCGCUUUUCUUGCUCGCAUCAUCAGGAACCGCGUCAGCGUUACAAGCGGGAACAGCUCUGAUUGGUCUAAGCUCAGGAUUCAUAUUCGCAGCAGCUGUUUCGAUCACAUCAGAGCUCUUUGGACCAAACAGUGUUGGAGUUAACCACAACAUCUUGAUCACAAACAUACCGAUAGGAUCGUUGAUCUAUGGAUUCUUGGCUGCAUUGGUCUAUGACUCACAUGGUUCGACUGUGAUCAAAUCAAUGAAAGACUCCGUCGUGUGUAUGGGACGGGGUUGCUAUUACUUGACCUUUGUGUGGUGGGGAUGCUUGUCGGUUCUUGGACUCGCUUCUAGUCUUGUGUUGUUUAUUAGGACUAGAAGAGCUUAUCAACGGUUUGAACAAGCUCGGAUAAAUUCAAAUAUUGAUUCAUAGAAAUUUUACCUUCAUUCCCCAACGGCUUGUGUAUAUCACAGUACAUGUAGGGAUCUAUAUUUAACAGACGUAUUAAUGGACUGUUAUGGAUUUUGGCUGAUAAUAUUUUGUUGUCGCUGAUUUAUUUUAGUCUCAAAUUCUUAUAAUUGUUAAAUUAUCCUAUCAUUUCUACAAUAAUAUUAUUUAUUUUGUGAGAAUUUACGUUUGACAGCCCUACUUGCAAUUAAAUCAAUUUAUGCUCUUUCUUUUAUGGUGGUGGAAACCUUCCUGACUGAUAAAUUAAUACCGUUUUUUAAAAUACAGUUUUUAAUUAAUAUAUAAAAAAAUUAAAAAAAAAUAUUUUGCUCGAGAAAGCAAUGUAUUUGGAUGUGCAAUCUCUUGUAACCGUUAAUUCUGAAGUGAUUUUUAGUACCCCAUCAAUUAUGAAAUGAUUACAUUACUGAAGACUCACCUUUUCAUUACAGAUAUUAAUAUAUAUAUUAAAAUGUUGAUAAAUCAAAGAUACUCGAGUAAUUAAAACUAUACUUACUAAUUUAGGGGUAGAUACAAAACCUCUGAUCCUUAAUACAAAGAAAAAGCCUCUCGUAAGCUAAAGCCAUCUUACUCGCCGUAAACAUCUCCGCCGCAUACUCUUUACACUUCCUCCCUCUCUCCGCCAAUCUCUCCGCUCCUUCCGCCACCGCAACCUCCAUAACCGCCGUCAAAGCCUCCACAUUCGGCGCAAACAUAAACCCAAACUCAUCAUUCACCACAAUACUCCUCUUUAUGCUCGCAUACCUCGACGCCAUCACCGGUUUACCACUCAACAUCGCUUCCAUCAACGUCAAAUCAAGACCUUGUGGUCUAAGCGUUGGAUUCACAAACAAAUCGAUCCCGUUGUAGAAACCCUUGAGCUCAUUUGGGUUCAGAGAUCCCAAAAUAGUAACUUUCUCGCCAAGUUCCUUGUAACGGUUCUCCCAUGGUCCUGACCCAGCUACCACAAGGUGAACAUUUGAAUGUGUUUCGAUUAGUUUUGCGAAGGCUUCGUAGAGAAUCGGAUGUCCCUUGUCUUUCACCAAUCUCCCUGCGGCUCCUAAGACAAUAGCCGAUGAGUUUUCUUGUAACCCUAGUUUUGACCUAAACAGAGAACGUAGCUUCUUGUCUGAUUUGAACCCAUUUUCGUCGACUCCGUUGAGGAUCACAUGAACCCUUUUCUCCGGGAUUUGGUAAACGUCUCUCAGCAUUUCCCCGCAGCUAUCGCUGAUUGCGAUGUGAUGAGCGUAGUUGUGGAAGAAUCUGAUUUCAUCUAGUAUCUUGGGAAGCACGGCACCGUAUAGGCUUGCGUUGAAGCCUUGUGAUCUUGGUUCGCCUGGUUUACGGAUCAGGUCUUGGUAAAUGCUUGAUUGUAAGCUCUCUAGUGCAAUGCCGUGCCACGAGACAGCUAGGUUUGGAACCUCUCUGGCGAUCCAGUGCGGUAAAGCCACGCUUUCCGUGUGAACCACGUCAAACGGUUCUUUUUUGUUUUCUUCUUGGUAAAGCUCCCAUGCUUUGUUGUACCGCCAUUUUCCGGGCUCAGCAUCGCCGUGGGAAUGGAUUGUAGGGUUUAUGGUUUUGUCUGAAGCGGAAGUGAUUUUGUUGGUUUGAGGGGAAGGGUCUAAGGGAGAGGUGAAAACGUGGACGUGGUGUCCACGGCGGGCUAAAGCAGUGUAGAGAGUGAAGGCAUGGCGUUCCAUGCCACCGGGGUUGGGCCCGGUGGGCCAUUUUCUGGAGAAAACUGCGAGUCUUAGGGUUUUAGGAGGAGGGUUGGUUAAGGAGAAAGAAAGGCGGUUCCAUGCAAAUUGGGCUGUUUGGAGAUCGCCAGACCACGGUGGCUGGUUUGUGUCAGAAGAGGGGGAGACUGCGGCGGUUGUGGAGGAGGAGCAAGAAGAGGAGGUGCGGAGGAGAAAGAGAGCCGGGAUGGUGAAGAGGACGGUGAAGAAAAGGAAAGUGCAAAGGCUGAAAUGAGAGUUAGGUUUCUUGAGUUUGGUUUGUGAAGCCAUUGUUUGAUCUGGACAAUCUGAUGUUGUGUCUGCUUGUUCAACUAGAUGAUAGAUAAAAGGAAAAUUGUGAUUUCUCAUCUCUGAGAAAUUAAUGAUAAACUUACAAUAUAAGUAAAUGAUAAAGUGGAGAUGGUCCAUUAAAGUUAACUUCAAUUUUUAUAAGAUUUUAUUUUAGUGGUUUGGUAACGUCUAAAUAUGACCAAGAAAGAAACGUGAGGCUGAGGCUUCAAUCACUUCUGCGAGAUCACUUUAGUUGUACAUAUGGGAAAUGUUCAUGUGACUUGUUGCGUGACUUUUUUACACAUAAACAAUGUGAACACUCGUAAAUAUCAUGCAAAUAUUAAAAAUAGUAAUGGUAUGGUAUAUUGAGGAACUAAACAUCUAUAGUAUAUUAUAGGUCAAUGGCCUAAAAACAUUGGUAAGGUCCGAAGCAAAACUAUUUAGUUAGUGUGUUUGGCCUCCACUUUUUGACUUUUUGAUUGUGAUAGGUCAUUUUUCUAAUGCGGAUUUGUUGGUAUUUUACAACUCAAGCAUUUGACUUUCUUAACUUUUUAGACUAUACAUUUCGUUGUAUAGUAUCAAACAUGCAUAAAUUUAAUGCAUAUGCGGUGGCAAAUGAUCUGGUAAUGCCUUUGUAUUGGAGUAUUAAUUAUUUAACAUGCAAGAGUUAUUUCUGUAAUAAGUUUACAUUGGAACUUUACUUCAAGGCUCAAUGAAUCUUAUCACAAGUCAAACUUUAACUUUUACAUUUUCAAGAAUGCUUCCCAAGAAAAAAGAAACUGAUUUUGAUAUUGUUGUACUGAUGAAACUCUUUCUGGAGAAACCUAACUUGCACUACAGAGAUUCAGUUCCCCAUUCUUGACAACUGCUUAAGAUUAGCCACUUGAAACUACAAAAUUAUAUACAGUCUCUGUAGUUCACUAAAAAGAUGGAGCUAAGAUAAAUUUGUAACAUGAUUCUAUCUGAACCAAACCCUUGUAUGAAAUCAACUUUCUAUAAUUAGUUAUUUCCAGAUAUUAGACUUUAAUUUGCAGGCUCCAUGUAACAAAGAAGAGAACACUCCUAAUCAGCAAAACAGAUUUCUUCGUUUGUUCUUUUCCCGUUCAUUAGCUCUUCUUCUUGGACACAACAGUAAGUGCCGUCUUAACCAAUAUAUUAACCCUGAGCGAAACACAGAAUAUGAACCCUUUUAUAAAUAUUUUCUAUAUUUUUCAUCACUGCAUUUCUCUUAACUUGAACUCUACGACCUGAAACCAGUGUUUUAAAAACUGGACCGGACCGGACCGGCCGGUUGGACCAAAACCGGCCGGUCGGACCGUGACUCGGCCAUCUAUUUUGUUUCGUACUAAAAGCCGGAUUUGUGUUAUAUUAGCAAACCCGAUCAAAAACCGGUAAAACUCGCUAAAACUAAUGAUCAAGAUUGAUAUUAAAAUCCUAUUUUUUCAAAUUCAAGUAUUUUUUAAACUGCAAAUUUUAAAAAUAUUUCAAAAAAAAUUCAUAUUGUUUUCUAAGUAUCUAUCUAAAUAAAUUAUUUUCAUUAUUUAAAAAAAAAAUAUUUUUUCUUUCAUAUCAUUUUUAGAUUGUAAUAAUUAUAUAAAAUUUUAUAAAAAUAAUUUUAUGUUAUACAUAUAAUAGUUACUUAAUAUAAAAUUUAAUUAAAAUUUAAAACCCAGUUGGACCGGUCCGACCAUUGAUCUAGUUACAAUGCCAAAUCAACGUCUGGUCCGGUUUUCAAAACACUACCUGAAACAAAUAGAAAAAAAUAUUUCAAAACUAAUGGUGAAUGUACAAAUUUUUUAUUGUUUUGUCUUGUAAUAAAUAAAUUAGGUUUACUUAAUUAUGAGUCUUUUUGAUAAUUUAACAAAUUGAAACGGACCUUCAAAACAACACAAAAAAAAAUUGGACCCAUGGCAAAUGCCCAUGUUGCCAUGGGUAACAGCUUCAUCCAUAUCAUUUCAUGUAGAUCUCUUGAGGAAAAACCAAAUAUACUUUGUUUUCUUCUCAUCAGGUUUCUUUUAAAUACAUAUGAGCAAUACGACAUCGUAACACAAGACUCGAUUAUUAGAAAACAGACUAAAGAUAAUGAAACUCUCUUUCUCACUGAGAGUCUCCCACACUCGUUCAUUCUCUCUUAUCCACUUCGCUCGCCCACCUCGCCCAACUCAUAACAGUGCGCUUGUUCCCUUCUUGAUCGUCCUUGCCAGCAUACGAAAGCCAAAGGCACUGCUAACCUAUCAGAAUGGCGCGUGUCUGCACCUCGAAAACUGAUAAACGAGUCGUAUUUUCCGCCGGGAAGGAUCCACGGAGAGCAAAAGUAUCUCUAUGGUUAGAAACUGAACGAUAAGGUUUUGGAAUCGGUGGGUGAAAAUUGACUACGAACAGUAACUCUUUUGACUAUGAACAGUAAGUAUUCACAGUGGGGUAAUAUACACUAUGAAUCGCACUCAACUUGUUCCCACUUGAAAUUCGAAAACGCAGAAACGAUUCUCCGUCACAGAAAUGGACAGACUCCGCGCUCUCCGCCGUCAGGGAUUGCGCGAUUUCGAGCCGUCACUCCCGCCGCGAUUUAUGGAUAGAAUCCUCGACCGUAUGAAGAAAUCUUCGAGUCGGAGGGGGAUAAGCCGCCGCCGGCUAGAACGGUGUUCUAGUUCCUUCGCUGAAGAUCUCUCAGCCUCGACUUCUUCUUUCGCGACGUGCUCGAUGGAGUUACCCGAUAGGACUAGUUUCCGUCUCUUAGCAGGAGGCGGCGAUGGCGAAUUGGAUCGGAUUUACAAGUCCCUUGGCGUUUCUGGUCCCGACGAUUUGGCGAUUUCUUUUGACGCGUGGGAGGCUUGCAAGACGCGUUCCUCCUCUGGUAUUGUUAAUAGGUUUCAGCCUCAGGCCGAUGUUUUGAGUAGUGGUGUUGAUUCACUGGAUCGGGACGAUACUGGUGGUGUGGGCAGGUUCUUCAAGGAGCAUGCGAGUGAAAAAGCUAGUGAGAAAGAGCAUGGCGAGAUGAAUCUCAAGGAAGUUGAAACUCCUUUCCAGCCAAAACUAUCUGAGCAUUGCGUUACGGGGUCUGACCCUAUAUUAGUUAUUUAUUGUGGUGACAACCAGGUCUCCGAGGAGAUAUACCUCAUCAGCUACAUCUUCAACGAGUUGUGUGCCCGUGGCUUUGCCCCUUUGAGAUAUGAUAUGAAAAAGAGCACUGUGACUGAAAAUCAGAAACUGCUACACAUAUCACGGGUUGGUAUUAUCAUUUUCUCGAUGAACUUUGCUCAUUCCAGAGAGUGUCUGGAUGGAUUCGUGGCAGUCAUGGAUCAUUUGAAAGCUAACGAGCUUGUGCUUAUUCCUGUGUUUUUUAAAGUAAGUGUUUCAGACGUCAGGGGCCAAAGUGGCUCUUUUGGAAAAGCAUUCACACGACUUGGGGAUUCAGUCAUGGCCUCCCAAGUUCUGAAAUGGAGGGCGGCUAUGAUCAAAUUAGCUUCCAUCAUUGGAUAUGCGUAUAAGAAGGGGUAUAUUGCUUUCUCUUUUUUUUUGCAAUAUUUUUUAUAUUUGUAUGGUGUGGUAUAUGACUCUGAUUCUGAUGUUUUCUCUGUGCAGGGAUGAGGUUAUUCUGGCCAAGAAUAUUGUCAGAGAUGUCUGUUUGCCGCUCAGUUCCGAAACCAACAUGAAGCUAAGAGGAACGAGGCUUUCAUUAAAAAGUAUAUUGUCUCUGCUGAAUCGUUCUCAACCCUCAUCUUCACAGAUUGUUGGACUUUGGGGUAUGGCUGGCAUAGGGAAGACUACCAUCACGAGAGACUUUUUCAGAUCACAAGCUGAGCAAUAUGACGUGUGCUACUUUCUGCCUGACUUUCAUCUAUUGUGUCAAACAAAAGGGCUGAGUUAUUUGCGUGAUGAUUUCUUCUCGAAAAUAUUUGGCGCAGAGAAAGUUUUCGUAGACGCAUGUGAUACAAAACCAAGCGUCACAAGGGAUAGGUUCCUCGGUAAAAAGGUUCUGAUUGUUCUUGAUGGUGUGAGUAGUGCCAAAGAUGCAGAAGUUUUGGUUGGAGGGUUUGGCUGGUUUUCUGGUGGACAUACAAUCAUCUUAACAUCUAGGAAUAGGCAAGUUCUUGUACAGUGUAACGCCAAAGUGAUUUACGAGAUCGAGAAGCUACCCAAGCUUGAGUCUCUUCACCUUUGUUGCAAGUUUGCCAGUAAAGAAAAUUGUAAAGGAAGAAUGUCGUUGACAUCGGAGCUUGUGGACUACGCUAGUGGCAAUCCUUUGGCUCUGCGAGUCUUAGGUUUGUCUAUUCAAAAUCAAUCUAUGAAAGAUCAGAAACAACAUCUGAGAAGACUGCGUCAACAUCCUCCAGUCAAAAUUCUGAAUGCAUUUAAAAUAAGUUUUAAUGGACGAGAUGAUGACGAGAAGAGCAUAUUUUUGGACCUGGCUUGUUUUUUCAGAGGGGAGGAUAGAGAUCGUGUGGUGAAAAUCCUUGAUGGUUGCGGUUUUUCUACAGAUUUAGGAAUCUAUGGUCUCAUUGAUGAGUCUCUCAUCAGCCUUGUAGAUAACAAGAUAGAAAUGCCCAACAUUUUCCAAGACGCGGGUCGAUUUGUUGUUUGUCAAGAACACGAAGAGCCAGGCAACCGUAGCAGAUUGUGGGAUUCUAGUGACAUUGCUGGUGUCCUGAAAAAUAAUACAGUAAGUCUUUGAAAAUGUGUAAUGAUAUUCUAUUUAAACUUAAGAUUGAGGUUCCUUUCUUCUCUCAGAAAAAAACUGUUUGCCAUUUUUUUCAGGGAACAGAAGCAACUGAGGGAAUAUUUCUGGAUGCAUCUGGCUUGACAUUUGAUUUGAGCUCUACUGCAUUUGAGAGGAUGUAUAGACUUAGAUUGCUCAAGAUCCACUGUCCAACUUCUGUAAAUCAUUGCAAGGUUUGUCUACCUGAAGGCCUCCACUCUUUGCCUGAUGAGCUACGCCUACUCCACUGGGAAAAAUAUCCUCUUGGAUCGUUACCUCGGAACUUCAACCCUAAAAAUCUUGUAGAACUGAACAUGCCAUAUAGCAACUUGACAAAAGUAUGGAAAGGAACAAAGGUAUGUCUUGACAUUAUGGUACAAUCUGCUGCAUACAUGAAGUAGUUAGCAUUUACUUGAUGACUCAUCUUGUUUUUUUUGUGCUGUAAUCAGAAUCUUGAGAAGCUAAAGAGGAUCAUUCUGAGUCACUCUCAACAGUUGACUAAAUUCCCAAGGCUUUCAAAGGCCAGGAACCUUGAGCAUAUUGAUCUCGAAGGAUGUACGAGUCUGGUUAAGGUUAACUCAUCUAUUCUUCAUCAUCACAAGCUUACUUUCUUGAGUCUGAGAAACUGUUCUCGUUUGCGAGUUAUGCCUACCACGGUUCAUCUAAAAUCUCUUGAGGUUCUUAAUCUAUCUGGCUGCUCAGAGCUCGAGAACCUUCAGGAUUUCUCAUUAAACCUGAAAGAAAUAUAUCUAGCUGGGGCUGCUAUUAGAGAAAUUCCGUCGUCGAUUGGGGAUCUCACUAGACUUGUUACAUUAGAUCUGGAGAACUGUGAAAGUCUCCAGCACCUGCCACCGGGGAUAAGUAACUUGAAAGCCAUGAUGACACUUAAGCUGUCUGGCUGUUCAAAUCUGAAGAGCCUUCCAGUUCUUGAUGCAUUAUUUCUCCAAGAUUCACAACGUUCUAACACAAGGAUAACCAUGGAAGAAUCUGUGUCCAUAAACCUUCACUCUGCUAUUCAAGAAUCAAGGUUAGAUGGCUCUAAAACCCUUCUGAAGUUAGAUAAUUUGCAACUGAGAUCAGAUAUUCACGGUUCUUUUUUCAGCAGAGAAGCAUUCUUACCAGCAUUUGAAUAUCUAUCAAACAACGGAAUACCACAAGAAAGCUGGACACGGGUCACUGUUAUUCCGUUCCCCUCACCCAUUUUACACUCAUUGGCGUCUAGGCUAUAUGCGCUAGUAUCGUUGUUCCUUUGUAAUGCUUACCUGGUGGAUAUACCUGAAGAUAUAUGUUGGCUUGCUUCGGUGAUGAGACUAGAUCUUGGUGGAAACUCUUUCAGCCAGAUUCCUAAAAGCAUCAAGGAGUUUCGUAAACUACAUAGCCUUAAUUUGCGCCAUUGCAAAAACCUCAAAUCGCUACCUGAGCUUCCUAGAAGUCUAGUAACCUUGAACGCCCAUGGCUGCGUGUCUCUCAAAUCAUUUCCAACGAGUUUCGAGCAGUUCCCAAGGCACUUCACAUUCAGUAAUUGCUUUAAUCUGUCCCCAAAAGUGGUUAGAGAAUAUAUAGGAAAAGCUCUUGAUAGCGUUAAAGGCAUGGCCAAGGGGAUUCUGCAGGUAUCCUCUCUAUUUCAGUUUCUAUCUGUCUCUGCCUCUCUUUUUUCGUCUAUAUUUCCCUCACAUACGUUUUUAGACUCACAUUUCGCAUAUACAUAUGAUAUUUUUAGGCUUCACUGGAACAGGAACACAUCAACGAUCCUGCAUUCAACAUCUGUAUACCUGCCUCUGCAGGCCAGCAAUCCUCGGUUAAUUUUCAAGCUGGUUCUUCUGUAAGGAUACAGCUAGCUCCUGGCAUGUUAAAGACUCUCUCAGGCUUUGUUUUAUCAGUAGUAGUUGAAUUUUGGGAUAAUUAUAGCAACACUGCUGGUUUUGGCAUCAAGUGUAUAUGCAGGAAGAGCAGAAUAGACCUCUCGCCUAGAUUAGAGAGAAUUUUCCAUUGUUGGGCUCCAAAGGAACCUAUCACCGUUCAUCGGGAUCAUAUGUUUGUUUUUGGGAGUGUGAAAAUGCAUCAUGCAGAAGCUGUUAACCAUGAUUUCCUGUCUGAUUCAGUGACCUUUGAGUUCCAUCCUGUCAAUUCGGAGAACCAGCUCGUAGAUGAUAGCUGCACAGUGAAGAGAUGUGGAGUGUAUUUAAUCACCGAUGCGACAAGUAAUACGGCUCUAAGCGCAAAACGCCCUUCUUCUUCCAUGGAUCCAGGGGGGCUUUCUAGCAUGGAGCAUGUGGCACCGCCAUAUAAGAAAUGUCGAUUGAAGGGAGUUAUUGAAAUUGUUAUUCUAAGCUUAAGAAAAAGGAAGCGAGAACUGAGCGUCCCUACAGUCAAAAACGUUUCUACGGUAAAAUCCCUGUCCCUGAGAGUUCAUUGAGCCCUAUGGCCUCAUAUGGUGCCCCGUAAAGCUAGUAGUUGCAGUCUUGCAGACAUUGAUUUUUCCUUCCAUCAACCUCAUCAUACACUGAAACUGGUCCAAGGAACUUGAACCUGAUGUCUGUUUACGUAUUUUGGUGAUCUAUUUCCUUAUUCAAAUCCUUUCCAUCUAUUUUUCACAGGUAAGACGUCUGUGCAGAUCGUAUGUUCGCACUGGAAGCUGUGCAGUGGGUCCUAGUUGUUCUUUUGAUCAUCCGAACUGGGUGUUAACACACAAGACCGCAUCUUCCAUUCCUUCCGAGAGUCCACCCAUGGAUAUGCUAGGACUUUCUUCAUAUGGUAAGCCAUCAGAUAAGCGCGUGGAAACAUCAACUGAGAAACCCAAAAGACUCUCUGUGUCUGAGUCAAGACAAGCAACCUCUGGUAUAGACACCAUUGAUGCAGAGCAGGAAGAAGAGUAAGCUUUGUCUCAAAAAGAGUGUUAAGCUUUGAUGAUUGGUUAUGGAGAAUCAGAGUAAGUCAUUUUCAUUUAUGUCAACUCUCGAGCAUUAUUUUUAUUGCAGAGGUAAAUUAAUCUUACGCGAGGUUUUUGUAUUUAUACUGUCGAUAGGUAUAGGCGAAAUGUGAUAGCGCGCACUUAGUGCAAAACGGCAAGCUUCUUGCAUGGAUCCAGUGGAGCAUAUGGAAUCACCAUAUAAGAGAUGCCGAUUAAUGAGUGUUACUGGAACUGUCUUAAGAAAAGGAAACGAGAACAGAGUGUCUCUGGAGACAAACCGUUAUAAGUUAAAAUCUGAGUCUUCCAUUGACUUACAUAUAAGUAGGUAGCUUUCUGAUGCAAUUUUGAAGACGCUCAAAUUGAUUUAAUGCUGAUUUGUAUUACGUAUGGCUUCCGGCCCUUCGAUAACUGUUUUCACCAUUUGCUUCUUCCUCGAUUAACUGAUGGUUUUACGAAUAUGAAUGAUGAUUCCAUUUCCAGGCUAGCUUAAUUUUUGCAGGUUCAUCUUGGUCCAGUUUCUGCUCGCUUCGAACAUGAUCAUAACUACAGAAAUCUUGAGCAGAAUGAGGAAAAAGAGUUAGGCUGUCACAAGGUUUUAAGGACUGAGACCGAGUCCAACUCUUACCUAAAAGACUCACAGACCUCUAUCCGUAAACCUACUCUCAGUCAGCUGCUCGGGUUCAACAGGUUUCCAAGGCUCGAUCUUUUGAGAAGAUAGGGAACAAAAGAGUUUGGAGAUAGCGAUGGAUCCAAACCAAGACGCCCGGGCUUAUAUAGUCCAUGAAACAAAGACGGGUCUUAUACUCAUUAAGUCAUAGCAAAUGUGUAAGAUUUGAUGAUUGGUAAUGAAGAACCAGUAUUUAUACUAUUGAGAUUUACAAAACAGAAAUAGUUGACAGAUGUUCUAGGAAAAUUAUAUUUUGUCAUUAAAAUGAAACAAAUUCCAAAUAUCUAAGCAAAUAAUCGGAUCGUAUUAUGACAAUUAAUAACAUUUCUUUUUAAUAGAUGACGUGGAUAUCCGAUCCGCCGUAGAUUAAAUCUUCGCAGUGAACCCGCACUGCUCACCACCACCACCCCUCGGACCAUCAUCACACCGCGUCUCGACCCAGAGGGCUUCCUCAGUCCUCCACAACUCUCCCUUGCGUUCUUACUUCUCUCUCCAGAUCCAAACUCUCACCAUUCUCAUCACAAAGAGAACUACAAUCUCGAUUCACUCUCUCCCAAAUCUCUAAUCCGAUUUCGAGAUUCAAUCCUCCCCCAGAUCACCUUUUGUUUCGGUUCAUGAUUCUGAUUCCGUGAGAGACCUUAUGGAUUCGCACCCUUCCUUAAUCGGAAGGUCCAUCGGCAACAGCAACCGAUCCAGCGUAGAUCUCGGCCGUUCAACGCCUUCCUCUCCUUCCCCUUCAUCGCUAACCAAAUCGAUCUCCGAUGCAAGUAGCCAGAGCCUCUCUUCGAUCCUCAACAACCCGCACGGAGGCAAAUCCGGCGUCUACGGCUCCGACGCCUCCUGGGUUGGUUGGUGGUCAUCCUCAACCUCCGUAGCUCCCUCCGAGUUCGCUCCCGUUGCUUCGACCAAGCUCCCCGGGUCGGACCUCACCAGAUCCGACUUCCACGGAUACGUCUCCUCGAUCUCCGACUCUCACGCUAGGUUCGAGGAUAUCAUUAACCACGCCAAGGAAGAGAGCUCCGGGUUUGAUCAGGAGAGCCACGUGUCCGGUUUAGCUUCGUGUCUCCGUGAGGUUCCUUCGCUCUACUUCAAGGAGGAUUUCGCGUUGGAGGACGGAGCUACAUUUCGCUCUGCGUGUCCCUUUUCGACGUUGACGGAGAAUCUAGCGCUUCAGGAGAAGCUGUCGCAGUAUCUCGAUGUGGUGGAGCUGCAUCUUGUGAAGGAGAUCUCGGUGAGGUCUGAUUCGUUCUUUGAGGCGCAGGGGCAGUUGCAGGAUUUGAAUGUGAAGAUUGUUGAGGGGUGUAGUAGGAUCCGUGAGUUGAAAGAGACUAUUAGGCUUCUUGAUAGGAACUUGGUGGAUUCUGCUAGGCAGAUUCAGGAGCUGAGCUCGACUAGGAUUAAUAUGUUAGAGCUGCAGCGUAAAUUGAGGGUCAUUUUGUAUGUUAACCAAGCUCUCUCUGCACUCAAAUUGGUAAUUGUUCUCAGACUGAUUUGCUUAGAGUAGUGUCAAGUUAGCUACUUUUGAGUGUUUCCACUGUUUUCCUGAUAGAGGUUUGAUUCUUUAUUGUUCAGCUUGUUGCGUCCGCAGAUUGUGCUGGAGCGUUGGAUAUAACUGACGAUCUCCAGAACUUGUUGGUAAGUCAUCUGUGACUGAUGUGGGGGUACUGUUCGAUGGUUAGGAUUAUCUUUUGUAAGAUGCUAAAAUUCUUUUAUAUCCAUUUUAGGCUGGGGAUGAGCUAACUGGUCUACAUUGCUUCCGUCACCUUCGAGAUCAUGUCACUACUUCCAUAGAGUCCAUAAACAGGUGCGAAUAUGAUAAGUUAACUGACUAAAAUAGGCAUUGUUCAGUUUGACUGUACUGCUCUUUUAGGAGAAGCGCUAAAUUUUUUUGAGCUUUUGUUUGCCGGCAGUAAAAUGUUUCUUAUAUUCGUGGAUAGAAUGGAACACAAUGAGACCCAGUCGGAUUUCAUGUUAAUUGUGCCAAGUACCAUACCAAACCAGCCAAUCUAGUGAUUAUGUUUUUAGUUUUGUUGUUGAGCCUCUUGGAUUUUUAUCAGAUAGUAAGGCACUUCUGUGAUAUUCUUUGGCAGCUAGUUAUUCAUAGCAAAUAGUAUUUCUGUAACCUGCAAUGGUCACUGUUUCUUACUGUAAAUCAAUCAUUUCACGCGGCAGACAUUUUCUCCGUCUGAUGAUUAUGAAUACACCCAGGCUUGUAGGCAUUUGUAUCAAUUAAAUGUUUAGUAUACAGAUUUUCUUUAGUAGUGCUGCUUGGUAAAAGAUUUAGUAGUUCACUGUUUUAGUUCACCUUCUAUAUUUAACUAUCCUGUUUCUCUAGUACUGUCUUUUAUUUGUUUAUUUGGUCUAAUGUCUGAUGACUUGUUGAUUUUUUCUUUGUAGUAUUCUCACAGCUGAAUUUAUGCGUAUCUCAAUACACAAUACUGGGGAAAUUGAUGUACUGAUUUUAUCUGCUGCAAAAAAACGUGGAUCUAUAUCUUCUAACGGGGAGAUGAGUGAAGUAAGUCUCAUCCGAUACAGAUGCAUAUUUUUAAUGAAUUUGGGCGCUUUUUUGUACCAUGUGGAGCUUAAUUGUGGGUGUAAAAUUGAAUAAAUCUUUACCUGUGAGAAGCGGUAGAUUAAUCAGAAAAUAAGUGGAAGAAUAUCCAGCAUGACUCGUAAUAUUAAUCUUCCACCUUUGCAGGUUAAGCUAGAAGAAGAAGAUACGUCUACCUUAUGUGAUCGGCUUCUUCCUCUAGUAAUUGGAUUGCUACGAACGGUGAGUGGCCGUUCCUUUAUUUUUUUCAACACAUGCUAGCACUGAGGUUCACAAUGAUUUUAUUUUUUGUUUUAAUAUCUUCGUUAGUGCUAUCUCUGCUCAUUAUUGUUGGUUCGUAUUAACUGUUAAGUCUGAAAUAUGUUUCUCAUUUGUUUUUCUUUGAACUGUUUAUUGUAGGCAAAGUUCCCAUCAAUUUUGAGGAUGUAUCGUGAGGCACUGACAUCUGAAAUGAAAAACGCAAUCAAGAACGCAGUUGCUGAGCUGCUUCCAAUUCUUGUUGCAAGAUCGCUCGAAUCUGAUUUUUCACAUGGGGAGCGCUCAGUAGAUGUUGAUGGUGAGAUUAUAAUUAUUAUUACUAUGUAUUAAGAUUGUCAUGUGACUUAGUUUAUGUCUGAUACAUAGUUGAACACAAGUUUAGUACUUGAAAAUACUGUGUAUUUACAUAUGCUUGUUUUUUUUUGUCCUCUAACUUAGUAACUUGAUCUGAGACCCGGCAGGGACGUAGUAUACAUGGAAAUUAGUUAACUGAUGAAGAAUGUUGGCUGAAGAUUUAUUUUUAUCCUUCUCUUAGGAUAAUGUAUUUUAUUUCGCUGGUAGUUUGUCUCUCCGGAAUCUAUUCUUAUUCCUAGUGCGUAUACAGGUGGUGGAUUAUCUCUCGCGAGCAAGUUGAGGGCGCUGUCAUCUGAGGCAUUUGUUAAUCUCUUAACUGCUAUAUAUAGGAUUGUUCAGGUAAUAUAUGCAUCAAUUAUGAAAUAUUUUUUAUUUAAACAAGCAUUAUAGGAAGUACUACAUAUAUUCUGUUUAUGUUGCACCAUUGGCAGCAUCUUUAUUUUGACUCUGAUACAUAUACCUUAUUGAGGCUAAGAACGUUUCACCCCCCGAACAAAUUAGAUGAUUGGUUAAGAUGUAACAUGAUUUCAUUUCAUUUAGUGAAUGCAGGCACAUCUUGUUCGGGCUUCGGAAGUGAAAAAGGCAAUUGAAUGGAUCCUCUGCAAUAUCGAUGGACAUUAUGCAGCUGAUUCCGUUGCAGCUGCAAUUGCUGUUGGUGCUGUAGCGGCCGAAUCAAUCCAGGAAACAGGUUUCCAAGGCGAGCUGUCUUCUCCAUUGGGUAAGGCUACCUCAAAGGCUUCUCCAUUGCAGAGAAAAACAAGCGACACAUCAAGCUUGAUAAAUAUGUCAAGAAACUUCAGGUUUUCUGGUUUAUUUGUUUAUUUAUGUAUUCCAAAUUGUCGCAGUUGCCUGUAACACAAACCUUUGUUAUUCUUGAAACUAAAGUAGGUUUUCUAUUUCUCUUAUUUAUAUAGAGCCGAUGUCUUGAGAGAAAACACAGAAGCUGUCUUUGCGGCCUGUGAGGUUACUCAUGCUAGAUGGGCAAAGCUACUAGGAGUCCGUGCUCUUCUUCAUCCAAAAUUAAAAUUGCAGGAGUUUAUGAGCAUUUAUGAUCUCACCCAAGAAUUUAUAACAGCUACAGAAAAGGUGUUUGUUCAAAACUUUUCUUUCAUAAAAGAGAUAAGAAAUUGCAUUGCUAUUCUUGCCUGACAUUCUUAUGGAAAUUAUCAGAUUGGCGGACGGUUGGGAUCUAGUAUUCGUGGGACGCUGCAAUCACAAGCCAAAGCCUUUGUAGAUUCCCAGCAUGAAGCUCGGGUUAGUCUAUGUAUAUAUAUACCUUUAGAAGUUUUACAGAAAGGACAUCUACAUCUUUGUUUACUUCCAUGGCUUACAAAAAAAAGUGGGAGAAAAUAGUUACACUAAGAGCAAUAUGCCCAAAGCCAUCUCUAUACUUUGUGCAGCAGAAAAGUUAAACUUACAUUUAAUAACAGAGUAGUGUUGAGCUAUAUUGACUUCAUCCCAUAGAUCCAUAGUCCGUAAUUAUUUUACCACCUAACUUCUUUCAUUAUCAAGUGUUCUGGUCGUUAUUCUAAGUUUUAUCUUACUUUGUUGUAGAUGACAAAACUGAAAGCUGUCCUUGAUCAAGAAACAUGGGAUGAGAUGGAUGUUCCCGAAGAAUUCCAAUCCAUAAUCAGUUCUCUUUUCGCAUCCCAGGAGUUGAUUUCUAGGAAAGCUGAUGAUGCUGAUACUUUAACAUACCACCGAAACCCGCUCACUCCCAAUGGGUCGCUCCCUUCAGGAACUGAAGAUCAAAAUACUGAACUACGAAAUGAAAAUUCUGAAUCUAGUGAAGGUCCUGCAGUUAGUAAUGCACAAGUGAAAUCUACAGUUUCACCUGAAUCUCUUGAAAGAAGCAAGGCUGGUGUAUCUUCAGUUGCGAAAGCGCACGUAAAAUCUAACCUUUUCUAUCAAGGAGUUGGUUACCACAUGGUAAACUGGUUAGUUUUCCUGUUAUUCAGCGUUAUGUUACAUAUCCGUUUUCUCUAGUAAUUCGAAUGGCUGUUGAUCAAUGAAUAUUUCUCUCUAUAUAUAUUUGUACCGUCUGCUAGGUUUGAUUCCUUAAUGUUUAGGUUUAGCUGCUGUCCCGGCUGUUAAUUUUGCUUAUGCUGAUGCAAUUCCUUGAAUGUCUGCAGUGGGUUAAUAUUACUCAAGAUGUUGUCAGAAUACAUUGAUAUGAAUAAUUCUUUGCCAGCUUUGUCCUCGGAAGUUGUUCUUCGUGUUGUUGAAGUGCUGAGAUUUUUCAACACUAGGACAUGCCAACUUGUUCUGGGUGCUGGUGCUAUGCAGGUAAAAAUAUGCUUUAAAUGUAGAAAAUAGUAAUGGUAAUUGCUGAUUAGUUUUAUUGAGUUUUCUAACCAAUGAUCUGUGAUCUUUUGCGUAACCAAAUGUACACCUGACCUAUUUGUCUUUCGCAAUUGAACUUUUUGACAUAAAUUUUGGUUCUUGUUUACGCAAAACAGAUGUGAUCUGUAAUAUUGACCGUUUGAGUGGGAAUUUUCAUGCUAUAGGUUUCUGGUUUAAAGUCCAUAAAGGCAAAACACUUGGCACUUGCAAGUCAAGUAAUCGACUUCACUUACACUAUUAUUCCUGGUAGGUGAUAUUUUGUCAUUUCUUUCUAAUUGUUGCAGUUAUAAUGUGUGUUUAGCGGAGUUAAUAAUGUAUCGUUCUUUUUCUGGUCCUAGAAUCCAGAAGAAUUAUGUUUUCAAAAGUACCCGAGACGAGAAAGCCACUCUUGUCAGUAGAGAUUGAUAGAGUCGCUCAGGUAUGUUUUUCUCUUUGACUGCUGCCUCUUUUUUCGCUUAACUCUUACAGGUUCUAAGGUUUUAGAUGUCGUUGCACGCCUGAUAAGAAUGUAGUUGAAACAAAAUUCACACUAGUUAAUCAUCUCUAGGUGCCUAGAAUAUAAGUGUUAAGAUGGCGGUUUUAAUGUAUAUUUCCAUUAUUUCUGGUUUGUCGCCGAUUUUCAGGAUUAUAGGGUUCAUCGAGAUGAAAUAUACGCAAAACUGGUCCAGAUAAUGAGAGAAAGACUAUUGGCGCAUCUUCAUGGGUUGCCGAAAGUUGUUGAGAGCUGGAACAGACCGCCAGACACCAAUAAACAAACUAAAGAAUUUGCUUGGCCACUCACAAGGGUAUUUAUUCUCAUUCCCUAAUCUCAUAAAGAUAAUAAAUGUUUAAUGUGCAUAUAAUUUUACAGGAAGUUGGCUACCUUCAUCGGGUCUUAUCUGAGACAUUGCAUGAAGCAGAUGUUCAAGCAAUCUUCAGGUGAGCAUAUACGCAACUUCCACAGGAAAGACUAAGGAUGCAGAAAAUAGUACUUUGGACUAGAGCUGACGUAUUGUAGGAUAGUAGGCAACCAGUUGUUUAGAAUUAGAGUGGAGUCAAGUUAACAAAACAAGCAAUCUUGUGCUAAGGCACCUCAGAUUGGCAGAGAUCUCAAUAACUUUCAAAUAGUUACAUUUUAGGUCUAAAGAACUUAAAUUUAUGGCUACAGAGAUUUAAGUUUUCGAAAUUUUCUGUUUGUUGUCCUUGUUGCCAAGUGCCAACCAUGCGUCGAAUUACUUGCAGUGUUUCACUCGUCUUUUAGCUUUAUAGUAUAAGACAACAGAUUAUUGUUUCUUUCUUAUAAAUGCGUAAGGCAGGAAGUACUCUUGCAGGUCACUUAUUUUACAUUACACCUUAAGACAAUUUUCGUGGCUUUUGUAGGCAGGUGAUUUCAAUCAUCCACACACAAACUUCUCAAACGCUUUCCAACUUGGAAAUAAGCUCUCCAGAGGCAAAGAAAAGGUAAGCUUUAUAUCCUUCUUUUCUAAAAACUAAGCCAACUCAACUUCUGUGAUUAACAUGCGUCUGGUUAUAAUCAGGCUGAAGCUUCACGUUGAGCUGAUCCUCAAAUGCAUCCGAUCGUUACCAUCGGACAAUGCAAAUGAAUCAGGCAUCCCAAACUGGGGACAACUAGAUGAGUUCUUUGCACAACACUUCAAAGAGGAAGAAGAGGGACGCGAAGCUGAGUGAUGAAGGAUGGAUUAAAAAAAAAAGAAUUUUGGUAUGAGGAUGGAUUACUCUACUCGUCUUUGUAGAUUUAACUUACAGGUAAACAAAUUCCUUCUUUCUGCUGCCUCCAUCACGAAUGAACCACUCUGCAACCAAAAACAUUGAGUAGAAUACAAAAUAUGAUCUAUAAUGUGCUCAUCGGGUUUCAUCUUGUUUGAGGAUUUUGUUCAGCUACUGUAGAGUUAUGACGGGUUGAACCUCUGUAUCGUAACGAUCUCUGUUCUCGUUUGGAUUUUUCAGGUUUACCUCCAUGUUGCUUUUUUUUAUUAUCCUCUUUUAUUUUAUGCGAGUUGUAAGAGGUAAACGAGUGAGUGGACAAAAGUUUUUAAAAGAGGCAGUAGAUUUAGACGUAUAUAUUUCUUUCUUUUCAGUUGGAGAAACUUUUUAAUGUGAUUAUAUUCAGUGUAUUCAUUUUAAAUAAAGGAAGUUUGUUUUGAGGGUUGUUCCAAAUUGUAAUCACAUGUUAGAAAUGUUAAUAAAGAAAAACUGUUACAUGUAUUCAAUAGUAAUGGUUGAAGGCCGAGGUAUCAUAAAAGUCAUCUCCAAAACACAAACUCAUAUGUGACAGCAAUGAUUCAAGAGUCUUACAAAACUCACAAGUAGAAGUUAAUGUUCCAGUGGAUCAAAUGAAACAGCCUUACAAAGAAAAACCAAUUGAGAGAUGACAUGCAAGCAAAACCAAUCAAUGUAUAUAACCUGGUCGUGUUUCCACUCUAUUUCAGCACAAAGCAAAUCCAAACUGCAAUAAGGAAUCAUUCAAUUACUACUUUUGAACGACACCGUUUUGGAUUGCGCAGACCUCUCUCUCUCUCCCAUGGCCACCGUCGGGCUUCUUCGGUCUCUCCGCCGCCGAGAAGUCUACGUAGUUUCUGUCUCUUCGGCGUAUAGAUUCGUAUAGCCUUCCUCAUUGAGCUCUUUCUUUCAUUUACUGUUUAUCUUGAGAACUUGCGGUUGUUUGUAAUUGCGGAUUACUAAAGUUUCCGCCUUUUUAUUUUGCAGAGUUCUGCUAGCGCCGGCGGGAGGACGACGGAGCUCCGGUUACCCGGAGUCAAAGAUAUAAUCGCCGUUGCGUCUGGUAAAGGCGGAGUAGGAAAGUCUUCGACUGCUGGUACUACUACAAUGAGAUCUUCUUUCCUCUGUUUUGUAAUCAUUCCAUUCUCUCUUGAGUUUUUGGGGUGUGAGAUUUGAAUAAUUGAAAUUGGUUGUGUUGUAGUGAACUUAGCUGUUGCAUUGGCCAACAAGUGUGGACUGAAGAUUGGAUUGCUUGAUGCUGAUGUGUAUGGACCUUCUGUUCCUAUCAUGAUGAAUAUCAGUCAAAAGCCUCAAGUCAACCAAGGUAUAGAUUAACAGAUAGAUAGGUUCAUCUUGCAUUCUUGACUAGCGUUUUAAGUACUAUGUAUAUUUGAAGAUAUGAAGAUGAUUCCGGUGGAGAACUAUGGAGUUAAAUGCAUGUCAAUGGGACUCCUUGUAGACAAAGAUGCACCACUUGUGUGGAGAGGUCCUAUGGUCUGUGUUUCUUUGCAAAUACCCUUUGUAUAGUUUUUGCAACAUCAACAAAAUCUGAUGAGAGGUAUUGUUGUUACAGGUAAUGAGUGCUCUUGCUAAGAUGACAAGAGGAGUAGAUUGGGGAGAUCUCGAUGUUCUUGUUGUUGAUAUGCCACCUGGAACCGGUGAUGCUCAGAUUACCAUAUCCCAAAAUCUUAAACUCUCAGGUCUGUGUGUGU
RNAcentral lists this long non-coding RNA (59277 nucleotides) under Brassica rapa (field mustard). RNAcentral's name for it is "long non-coding RNA (BRAP_LNC000116)". The record is from RNAcentral. Lineage: Eukaryota; Viridiplantae; Streptophyta; Magnoliopsida; Brassicales; Brassicaceae.